AUCUGGCACAAGAAGUUAUCCAGGUUUGGAAUAUCUUUGAGUUUGCGGCAGUCUUUCAGUUGCAAGGCAAUCAUUUCCGACAUCUCUGGAAGGUUGGGCAUAAUUUCCAGUUCAGUGCAGUAAUUCGCUUCCAGUCUACGCAAACUUGUCGGCAAAUCUAGGAUUGCCUGAAGGUUUGUGCAAUGAUUUAGAUACAAACAUAUAAGCUGGGAAAGGCCACUGAGGAUGGGUAGCCUAUUAAAACCAUUUCCAUCUAGUCUUAAAGUCCCUAAAGAAGGUAGACUCCGAAGGCUUUCAAGAAUGGCAUCAUCCGUUAUAUUGCAGUCUUUAAGAUCUAAAUACUGAAGCAUCUUCAGUUGUGCAAAUAAAUGGUAACCCCCAGACACACCCUUACAGCCGUUGAGGCUCAAAUCCUCGAGAUGUGGGAGUUUUGAAAAGUCUGGUAAUUGAGUCAGGCUACGGGAAUGAUGGAGCAGAAGAAACUUCAACUUCUUCGGCAACUGUUUGGCAAAAAGAUAGAACAAAAUCAUAAUCCAUAUUAGAGAGAGAGAGAGAGAGAGAGGAAAGGAUUAAUAAUUUGGUUGAGGUUACCAAACGCAUAUUAGAGAGAGAGAGAGAGAGAGAGAUAGUUCAAUAAUUUGAUAGAACAAAAUCAAAAUCAUAAUCCAUAUUAGAGAGAGAGAGAGAGAGAGAUAGUUCAAUAUAUUCUUCAUCAGGACAAUGAUUUCCAAACGCAUGCCAACUAAGGAGCUCAAGAGCUUCUUCAUCCGUCAUCGCUUGUGCCUUAUAUUUUUUAUCCACCUUCUGUAUAUUCAAUACUUGUUCAUCUCUUGCUAUUAUAAUAAUCCUACUUCCUGAACCAAACGAGUCAUGUUCUAUUGCCAAUUCAUCUAAUUGGUCCGCAUCAUCUAUGUCAUCAACUACGAUGAGUACCUUCAUGCUUCCAAGUCUUUUCUCUAUCUCCCUGGUCCCUUCGGCAACACUACUUAUUUUAAUGUCAGGCCGUUUCAAAAUAUCUCGAAGAAGUUGUUCUUGCAGACUAACCAUAUUUUUCUUUUUACUCAUCACCUCUUCAAGGUAACAUUGACCACGGAAACUAUGAUGGUAUGUGCUAUAAAUGGCUCUUGCAAGUGUUGUUUUACCUAUGCCGCCCAUACCCCAAAUUCCAAUUAUUUGAACAUCAUGUGAACCUCCAACAUCUAAGUAUUUAGUACUGAAUUCUUCCACGCGAAAAGCUAUUCCAACUGAGUGCUUGGCUUCUUUUAAGUCGCUGGUUUUUAUUAGUCCAAUGAUGUCCCCAACAACUUUCUGGAUAAAUACUCCUUCACGGCUGCCAAUUGGAAAUCCAAAUUAUGCAAACAGAUGAUUAAUCAUGCAACAUCAUGAUUCAUAUGAACUAAAGCUAAUUGUACAAGAUGUUGCAAGCGAUUAAAUUUUGUAAAUGAUACCUGUCUGCAGUGGUUUUAAGAUCCUGGCCAACCAAAUCUGCAGAAGCCUUAAGAUCUUUUCUCCACUGCUCCACCUCAUUUGGGUCUUCAUCCCUUUCAUGCUUCUGAAAUGCUUCCAAAACUACCACUCUGUUUCCUCACUUCAGAAGGGUCAACGUCGUAGAAUAUUGGAUAGACUACUUUCUCCUCUUGAUCUUCUCCGCACCUCAUGAUCUUCGACAGCUCCCUCAGGCACCAUCGGGACUCCGCGUAACUCUUUGAGAAGACGACGACCGCGAUCCUCGACCCUUCGAUUUCUUGGUCAAGUUCUCUCUGUAUAUUCUUCCCCUUUCUGAGCUCGUAGUCUAUAAACGCGUUGAUUCCGGCAUCGCGUAACGCUUUGAAGAGGUGGUCUGUGAACCCAGUGCGUGUGUCCUCGCCUCUAAAGCUCAGGAACACCUCGUACUUCCAGCGGUUUGAACGCCGAGAGGAAGACGAACCGCCGGCGGCGGCGGUUGCAAGGGCGAGGCUGCCGGUAUUCAUUGAUUUCAAGCAAAGAAGUGAAACUCCUGAUCGUUUCAGUCUAAAGAAAACAAUUCUCUCCCAAGAUUCCCAGCGAAACUCCUGAUUAUUGUUUUGGAUCGCUGGAAGAUGUGAGAGCAAAAAAUAAUGAAGAAAGAAGAGGGAGAGAAGAUGCAAGAUGCGGCUUAGUAAGAAAAGAUGGGAGGGAGAAAAUAAUAAGAAAAACUGGGAUUGAAAAGAUAAGGACAAAAUUGGUAAAUGAAUAAUAUCAGGUUUGAUUUUUUAGUGUAAAAAUAUGGUUUUUUCUUAAUGUAAACAGUACCGUGGGCUUUUCGUUAAAACUCCCAUAAUAAUAUGCCCACAUUUGUAGUAAGAAGGCUUUUCUUAAAAGACCUAGCUUCUCUGUCCUCCCACUUUCCAUAUACUCUCAUCCUAUUUGUACAGUUACGGUUAAGCCACGUCAACAUUUUGUAUUACUAUUGUUUUUUAUCUUCUCUAUAAAAAAAUCAAUAUAAAAUGUUGACAUGACUUAAUCGUGAUCGCACAAAAAAGAGAAAAUGAAAGUGUAUGAGAAGUGGAAGAGCAAAGAAGCCGGGUCCUUUCUUUAUGGGUUUGAUUGAUUAAGUCUAAUCUACCAAUAUAUUAUAUUGGGUAAAUUACAUAGCAGCCCAUCAGGUUUGAGGUCUAUUGCAAUCUUAUAAAACAUCUUUAAAACAUUUCACUUUCAUAACUCAAGUACUAUUUUAUUUCAAUUUUAUACAACCAUUACAUUUUCCAUCCAUGAAUCUGUUAAAUGCUGACGUAGCUGCCACAUAUAUGCCAUGUGGCUGCCAAAUGUCUACCAUGUGGCAAAUAAAAUAAUUUUUUAUAUUUUUUAAAAAAACCUGAAAUUGGAAGAAGAAGAAAAAAAAAAGGAUUGAACCCCUGCAACCCAGAAGAAGGAGGAAGAAGAAGAAGAGAAGAAGAAAGAGGAGGAGGAGGAAGAAGAAGAAAAAAAAAAGAAUAAAAAAAGAAAGGACUGAACCCCAUGCAACCUAGACUGACGUAGCUGCCACAUAUAUGCCAUGUGGCUGCCAAAUGUCUACCACGUGGCAAAUAAAAUAAUUUUUUAUAUUUUUUAAAAAAACCUGAAAUUGGAAGAAGAAGAAAAAAAAAAGGACCGAACCCCUGCAACCCAGAAGAAGGAGGAAGAAGAAGAAGAGAAGAAGAAAGAGGAGGAGGAGGAAGAAGAAGAAAAAAAAAAGAAUAAAAAAAGAAAGGACCGAACCCCAUGCAACCCAGAAGAAGAAGGAGGAAGAAGAAGAAGGGAAGAAGAAGAAGAGAAGAAGAAGGAGGGGGAGGAGGAAGAAGAAGAAAAAAAAAGAAAAAAAAAAGAAAUGGACCGAACCCAGAAGAAGAAGGAGGAAGAAGAAGAAGAGAAGAAGAAAGAGGAGGAGGAGGAAGAAGAAGAAGAAGAAAAAAAAAAAAGAAAGGGACCGAACCCAGAAGAAGAAGGAGGAAGAAGAAGAAGAGAAGAAGAAAGAGGAGGAGGAGGAAGAAGAAGAAGAAGAAAAAAAAAAAAAAAGGAUGAUCAAACCCCUUGCAACCUAGAAGGAGGAAGAAAAAGAAGAGAAGAAGAAAGAGGAGGAGGAGGAAGAAGAAGAAGAAGCAAAAAAAAAAAAAAAGGAUGAUCGAACCCAUUGCAACCCAGAAGAAGAAGGAGGAAGAAGAAGAAGAAGAGAAGAAGGAGGAGGAGGAGGAGGAAGAAGAAGAAGAAAAAAAAAAAAAGGAUCGAACCCAGAAGAAGAAGAAGAAAGAGAAGAAGAAGAAGGAAAAAAAAAAAAGAUAUGUGCCAGACAGGUUUUUUCAAAAAAAAAAUAAAAAAUUAUUUUAUUUGCCACGUGGCAGACAUUUGGCAGCCACGUGGCAUAUAUGUGGCAGCCACGCAUUUAACAGAUUCAUGGAUAGAAAAUGUAACGGUUGUAUGAAAUUGAAAUAAAAUAGUACUUGAGGUAUCAAAGUGAAAUAUUUUAAAGAUGUUGUAUAAGAUUGCAAUAGACCUCAAACCUGAAAGACUACUAUGUAAUUUACCCUAUUAUAUUUAAUAGGCCUUAUUGUUCUUAUAGGUAGUCAUUGUCGACGGCAACGCGAGCAUUAUUCAAUCAAAGCAUAUAAUCAGUUUUUAAUUAAGGUGGAUUAGCUGUUCUUAUUGGUUUGAAACAUUCAAACUAUUAAAAUAUAAUAUAGUUUUGAAUAAUUGCUAGUGGACGUAUUAAACGAGAGUGCGAGAGGCACGAUAACGAUUCUUAUUGUAAAAUUUAAUCCAUAACACAUGAUGCAAAUUAAAUAAAUACAUAUUCAUAUAGGCCAUGAAAUUUAUAAAUCAAGACGUGCUCAAUCAUCAAAUUUAUUAAAAAUUUCUAAGUACCUCAUUAUUUUGUUUGGAUUGAUCAGUUGACCCGAUUAAAAUGCCCACCCUACUUGAGAACCUGCAUUCACAUCGAAUAUGAGAACUUGGCUAGGUCUUGUCCAUGUCCUUAGUACAAUUAUCCAUUAAUGGUCAUAUAUAAUGUAAUGUCAUUUUUUUUUUAACGAUCAUAUUUGACCAUCAAUAAAUGAUUGCAAUAAGUACUUCAAUCCCUAGCUAAUAUUAUUAAACUCGAAUCACAACGUUUACAUCCAAAGUCAGAGUAUUAAACAACUCUUGCUCCACGGCUACCUAGUGUCCCCAUUAAAAUUGAAAGAAGGCUAGAUGUGCUCUUAGCAAAUUAUUAUUGGCACUUCAAAAUUCUCAUUUUGCACUUCAAAUUUUCUAUAAUUAGAAAGAAAAAUAUACUUGUGAGGAGUGUAGAAUGAGAUUGUUGAACUGCUAAUAACAGUUCUCUAAAUAAAUAAAUAAAAUUAAUAUAUAUUCGGUUCGGUUUUAGAAUCAUUGAAACCGAAACCAAACCAAAUGAUUUCGGUUUGAUUUGAUUUUUUGUUCAGUUCGUUUUUUAGGUUUCGGUUCAAUGUUCCGUUCAUUUUUUUUCCCUAUUUUUAAUCCACCCUUAGUUCACAACCUUAUUCUAUUUUAAAGGUGGUGUACAGGUUGGUUCAACUGAUGUUGAUGGACGUCAUGGGUUUAUGAACAAACAUGACAAGGUUGCACUGGACAUAGACAAGAUUGCAUUGGACAUGGCACAUGUUUGUGGGUUUUGCAUUGAUUGAAUUGUAUUUUAAAUGCAGACAGAUGAGCCAGAGUUUGGCAAUCAAUGCUCCAAUUAGGACAAAGUCUGAAGACCAAUUCUAACAUUAACAAAACAUAAUAAUAGUAAUAUGCCACUUAUUCAAUAUGCUAACAUUAAAAUAUAAUCAUAAUGAUUCACAUGUGACGAGUUCAUAGUCACGUAAUGUUUUAAUAUUGUAUGUAUAAUUUUUUGAGAGACAUCACGCCACGAAGGCCGUUUCAGUUUAAUAGCUUUGCAAAACCUUUAGCAUAGAAUGGAAAAAUGACCAACCAAUGUUGGAGAUGAUUUGUUGGGAGGAACAGGAAAACUAAUGAAAAGGGUUUAAAAACUUUAAGUUUUAACGAUAAGGACAAUAAAAAAGGUAAAGUGAAUAGUACCAGGAUUGACUUUUUAGUGUAAAAAUGUGGUUUUUCGUUAAAGUGAACAGUAUCAGGAGUUUUUUGUUAAAGUUCCCCUAACUAUAACUAUAAAACAGGUAAAAGGCAGUAGCCUAGUGAAGUGCGUGCUACUGCUUUUUACUAUAUUUUUUUCGUAAUAGGAAAAAUGAGCGGUGGAAAGAGGAUGAGAGCCUACGGACCCUAAUGAGCUUGACCACUGGUUUGAUUGAUGACUAAGAAUUAACAUCUCUUUUUUUGUGGCUUGAAGCAUAAUUAGGUUUGAUAUAAGUUAAUACAAGAAAGUAUGAACCUAAGAAUUUGUAGUGGAAAAUACAAAAGAUUCUUAAUAUACCAAAGAAAUAACGUAUCAGUCAUCAGUUGUACGUUGCCUUGUAUUUGUCAUUGAUGGAUUAGUCAUCAUCAUUGUCAAUGUCAUCGUCAAACUCAUAUGGUAUAGUAUGAUAAUCUUUCUCACCAGUAUCAUUAGGCUCUAUAUAGUACAUGUUCAUAAUGCACCAUAUUCACUACUGAACGAAAAAAACUAUAGGAAAACAAAAAUUGGUAGAAAGUGAGAGACUUAGUGAAAAAGAAGAGAGUGGUAUUUUGGGAGAAGGAUUCUACGGUCUGUAUGUUCACAUAGCUGUGAAUUAUACAUUUUACAAUUUGACCUUGUACAAACAUUUAAGUGAUUCAUGUAUUUGCUGAAUAGUUCAAAUUCAUCGCACUCUUUUCAUCUCCUCAAACAAAACAGAACAAAGAUAGACUCUUAAUUCAUAAAAUGUGGAACAUUUGUCCUUUUACAUGUACAUAAUAAAAGAAGCAUGUAACAUGUGUUUCACUUGCUUAAUUUGUCGGAAGUUCUCAUGCAAAUGUUGUGCAUUUUAUAAAAGGGAACUGUUAUUAGCACUCUAAAAAUCUCAUUUUAUACUCCUCACAAGUGUAUUUUUCUUUCUAAUUAUAGAAAGUUUGAAAUGCCAAAUAAGAUUUUUAGAGUGCUAAUAACAAUUUCUUUUAUAAAAGGCUUUUUAUAUUAGCACCCCACAAAAUGUUGAAUGCACCUCACAUUAAAAUUUAAUAUUAAAUAACUUAUAUAUCCUACUAUGCAAUGACAGUUUUGACCUUGUUAGGUUAAAAAAAUUAAAAAUUCUAUAUACACCCCAAAUCACUCUUAACGUAUUAUUUAUCUUCUUCAACUAUCAAAACCCAUCCAACCCUCCAUUGUUGAACAAAACCCUAACCAAUAAAACUACAAACAUGUUGAUUGAGAAAAAUUAUUUUUGACGAAUGAAACACAAAAUCAAUGUUUCGGAAGCUUCACAUGCGGUAGACUUCAUAUUAAUUAUUGUUUUAGUGAUUUUGACAACAUCAAUAAUUAUUUAAUCUUGCUUUUGAUGCGUUAUUCAAGCUUCUAUGUUCGUAUUCAUCUUUUAGGGAUCAUAGGGAUUACAUGAAGAAUUAAACACCUAAAAUUACCACCAAAUAUUAAAAACAGACGACAUGAGUUUUAAUGGUAGAAUUAAAAACAACCCACAUAUGCUUUAAAUCCCAGGCGGCAUCUUUUGUCAAACUUUUAGUCUGCAUAAUUUGUUCAAAUUAAAAGCUUUGUAAGAUUUGAGAAAUGUGGGGUGUAUAGAAAAUAUGGAGUUUUAACGAAAAACCCACGGUACUGUUCACUUUAAAGAAAACCACAUUUUUACACUAAAAAGUCAAACAUGGUACUAUUCAUUUUACCCUUUAUUUUGUCUUUAUCGUUAAAACUCAAAAUUUUCAAUCCCUUUUCAUUAGUUUUCCUUAGAAAAUAUGGGGUGCAUAUAGAAAAUGUAAGGUGUAUAUUAAGAAUGUGGGGGUGUGAGGGUAUUAUGGAAAAGUAUGCGUGGUGUAUUAAGAUAAUUUUUAAUUAAAAAAACAAAUGUGGGGUGUAUUAAGUAUAUGGAGUUUAUUCAACAAUUUGUGAGGUGUUAAUAUAAUAAGCCCUUAUAAAAUUGUAAUACCAAUUCUAUACAUCUCGUCAAAGAGAGAUAAAAACACGCCACACAAGUGAAAAAAACGAAGAAAACCGACUUGACGGGAUUCGACACAGGCAACUUACAGCCAGUGGCCACAAGUGUGACUACCAACGAAACUCAAUCUGCUUUUAUGAGAUUGUGAAAUUCUUUGGGAACUUUAACGAAAAGUUUCCGGUACUGUUCACUUUAACGAAAAACCACAUUUUUACACUUGGUACUAUUCACUUUACCCUUUAUUUUGUCCUUAUCAUUAAAACUUAAAGUUUUCAAGCCCUUUUCAUUAGUUUUCCUAAAUUCUUUUGGGUAACCAAGUGAGUCUUCUGCAUGAAAAUGAGGGAAGUCCUUGCUAAUCUGCUUGCAUCAUGUAACAGCGCGGAAUCGGCGGCGCAAUUGCACUCUCAAACCCUCAAAGCCGGCCUUUCCCAGGACAGCUUAUUUGCCACAAAACUCAACGCUCUGUACGCAAAAUAUGAGUGCAUCGGUCAUGCCCGCAAGGUGUUCGACGAAACGCCCCACAGAAUUGUCUAUCUCUGGAACGCCAUGCUCAGGAGCUACUGUAGAGAGGACCGGUGGGAGGAGACCCUGUGUCUAUUUUGUAGCAUGAUGUCUGAGUUAAGAGGUAAUGAUGAAAAGCCUGAUAAUUUCACCAUUCCUAUUGCUCUGAAGGCGUGUGCGAGGUUAAGGGCUCUAGCGUGUGGAAAAAUAAUACAUGGGUUUGUGAAGAAACAUGAGAAGGUUGCAUUGGAUAUGUUUGUAGGUUCUGCAUUGAUUGAAUUGUAUUCCAAAUACGGAGAAAUGGGCGAGGCUGUGAAAGUGGUUGACGAGUUUUUGCACCCGGAUGUGUUUUUGUGGACUUCUAUGGUUACUGGAUAUGAGCAAAAUGGUGAUCCUGAAGAAGCAUUGGAGUUUUUCUCCCGAAUGGUGAUGGUGGGGCGCAUUAAUCAUGACCGAGUGACGCUUGUUAGUGCUGUUUCGACUUGUGCUAAGUUAUCAAAUUUUAGAAUUGGAAGUUGUGUGCAUGAUGUUUCUAUUAGGAACGGGUUCAACUCUGAUUUAUCUUUAGGUAAUGCAUUGCUAAAUCUCUAUGCAAAGACGGGUUCUGUCAAAACUGCCGCUAAGUUGUUCAUGAAGAUGCCGGAAAAAGAUGUGGUUUCUUGGAGCUCCAUGAUUGCGUGUUACACUCAUAAUGGGGAUGUAAUAGAAGCGUUAAAUCUUUUCAACGAAAUGAUUGAUAUGAGAACCGAACCUAAUUCAGUGACUCUGGUUAGUGCAUUGCAAGCAUGUGCACUGGCAGGUAAUUUAGAAGAAGGUGAGAAGAUCCAUGAAACUGCUACUAGGAAGUGUUUCGAGUUAGAUAUCAAGGUAGCUACAGCCCUGAUAGAUAUGUACAUGAAGUGCUCUGCACCCGAAAAAGCAGGUGAUCUCUUCAAUAGAGUGCCAGAGAAAGAUGUGGUUUCGUGGGCUGCCUUGUUGAGCGGGUAUGCUCAUAACGGAAUGACAUACAAGUCAAUUGGGGUCUUUCGCGACAUGCUAUCAGACGAAACUAAGCCUGAUGCGUUGCUAUGGUCAAGCUUCUUGUAACUUGUUCGGAAUUAGGGAUUCUUCAACAAGCUCUCUGCCUCCAUGCUUAUGUGAUUAAACGUGCUUUCAAGAAUAACAUCUUUGUUGGAGCUUCACUCAUAGAGUUAUACUCGAAAUGCGGCAGCAUAGACAAUGCUAUCCUAUUAUUUGAAGGGAUAACAGACAAAGAUGUUGUUAUCUGGAGCUCGAUGAUUGCAGGUUAUGGAGUUCAUGGACAAGGAGAAGAAGCUUUAAAAGUAUUUGAUCGGAUGGUGAAGCACUAAGAUGUCAAGCCUAAUGAUGUAACAUUUCUCUCGAUUUUAUCUGCGUGUAGCCAUUCGGGUUUGGUUGAAGAAGGCAUCGAGAUAUUCAAGACCAUGUUGCCUGAAUACCAACUUAAGCCCGAACCUGAGCACUACGGGAUAAUUGUUGAUCUUCUUGGCCGGAUAGGAGAGCUGGAUAAGGCAAUGGAAAUCGUUGAGAGAAUGCCCAAUCCAGCUGCACCGCAUGUUUGGGGAGCCUUGCUUGGUGCAUGCCGGAUUCACAACAACACAAAGCUUGGAGAGGUUGCAGCAAAGAGUCUUUUUCGGUUGGAUCCUAAUCAUGCAGGAUAUUACAUCUUGCUCUCGAAUAUAUAUGCCAUGGAUAACAAAUGGGAAAAUGUGACAAAUCUUAGAACUUUGAUAAAGGAGAAGUGAUUAAAGAAGAUGUCCGGGCAGAACGUUGUCGAGGUGGGGAGUGACAUCCGUAGUUUUGUUGCCGGAGAUAGAUUGCACCUUGAUUCUGAUCAGAUUUAUGGAUUGCUAGGAAAAUUAGAGGCGAAAAUGAGAGAGGAAGGUUAUGUUCCCAAUGUCGAUCUCCUGCUACAAAAAAACAUGGCGGAUGCUGUCUAGAUUUGAAGUGCUGAGAAAUUUCUUGUAUGGAAAGUUUCGACUCACAUGAAAGAAAGGCGUAAUGAUAUGGACAUACUCUAGGAUUGUGAUGUUUUUCUAUCAAAUUACUUACAUAAAUUUCAUGAAAAUAUGUAGUAAUUACUUGUAUCAAUGAGCAGUGCCUUCUUUUCCAGAAGCAAGGACAAAUUCCACAUACAGAUUCUUGAAGGCAAUCACCACUGUCAUCAGCAGAGGACCCAUAAUCUGUUAAAACCCACCCCCAAAUAAUUGGAAAAUUUGAUAUUUCCACCCCCAUUUGCCACGUGUCAAUCAUCCAAACCCCUUCUUUUCCCUCUCUCUCUUCCCUCACCCCCGUGACUUCUCUUUUCUUCCUGUCUCUCUCUGUACUCUGUCCCUCUCAACUCUCCCGAAGCUCUCACUCUCCCGUGCAUCUCUCUCCCUCAACCUCUCUCGUAUCUCUCUCCCUCUGAACUCGAGUGGACCCUAGCAUUCCCAGGAGAGACCUGUAGCGAACCAGGGAUCCCUGCCCUGCGGCUCGAUGGCACGGAGCAAAGCUCCGGCGGCUUCUCUUCCUUUUUCCCGUCGGGUAGGUCUCAAAUCUCUCACUCUCGUACCUAGUUCUUGGUUUGGUUGUGAUUUAGAAGCUUGAACCUUACCUUUUUACGUAGGUUUUUUCUUCGGAACGGUCGUGGGUGAGCACACCCACUUUUCUGGUGAACCCGUACACCCCAAGGACUUUUCCGGUCAGCUCCGCCCUUCUCUCUCGGCAAGCCACAGGCCAACCGGCCUCUCCCAUUUCCUUCGCGGGCCUCCAGCCCGUUUUGUUUAAACCCAGUACCCUAACCCAUUCCCUUUUUAUUUUUAGUUUUAGUCCUUAAAACCCAAAAGGCCACGGGCCUUAAUGUUGAAAGGCCUAGGGCCGGUUAUGUCCUAAGGGCUUAAAGCCCUGUUUUCGGUAGUGAGGCCCGAGGGCCUUAUGCUUAUGUGUGUGUGUGUGUGUUUAAGUUUAUAUGUUUGGGCUUAAGCCCAAACCCCCUUUCCAUCCUUUUAAAUCCAAAAGGCCUAGGUUCCCAAAACCCAUUAAAAAACCCUAAAACCCAUCCUAUCCCAAAUCCCCUAAUUUAAUUUAUUAGAACCCAAUCUUUUAGAAAAUCCUUUUAAUUAUUAAUAUUACAUUCUUGUUCUUAGGUAAAAUUGCUAGUGGAGAAAUUGUAUAUCCUUAUUCGCGCGACUCUUCUGCUAAGGAAUAUUUGUGAGUGGACCCCUUCUAAAAUUACAUGAUUUGAUAAUUUAAUUGCAUAAAUGAUUAGCAUGCCUACGAAUUUAUAAUUUGAUUUAUGUGAAGCCUGUUAAUUAAAUAUAUUGAUUAUCGUCUCGUGUUUUGGUGAGGAAUUAAUUGUUAGCCUAUACUGAGCUAUAUUUCAAUAUAUCGUAUUUUCUAUAAAAACCAUGAACUGGUAGACUAUCUGACAGAUGACGAUAGAAUGCUAGAACAUGAUUUUGAACCCUCUUUAUAGCGUAGACGAUAUUCGGUAACCUAUGCUAUGAAGUGGUUAUUUAAGAGAGACGUAACUAUUUGUGCGUACCUAGUGGACACUAUGCCGCCUGGGGCGAGGAUCUGGUGUUGGCAUUUGGGCCGGGAGAAUUAAUCCCUAGCAAAAGGCUGAGGGACACGGAGACAGGCAUUGGGCCGGGAGGGAGUUAUCUCUGGCCACGGGCACAGAGACUGAGGUGCAGGCAUUAGGCCGGGAGUUAUAUUUAUUCAGUGAUCUUUCUAGCAGCACACCGCGCUUACGAGACGAUUUAUGAGACGUUUGAUAUUUCGAUUUCCACGAUGCUUUUCCGCGAUUUAUGGCUUUUGAGAUAUUUUUGGCAUGCUAGGAUUUUAGUAAAUCCAUCAUUUAUUAUGCUAGUAGUUUUCAUUAUAUAACUUUGGGGGUUAGUAUUUUAAUAACUGUUUUAUUAUUAUUGUAUAUACGAACUUGGUCCACUCACCUUUGUUUUGCGCCCCCAUUCAGGACAUAGAGCCGAGGCAUACAAUCCUGGCUUGAAUGCAUUUCCGCAGCAGCAAUCUUCGGAUCCUCUCGAUGUAGGACCCACUCCUUUAUUCAUUAAAUUUUAUCUUAAUUCUUCUUAGUGAUUAGGUUUAGUUGUAUGCUCUGAGCACGUUCCUAAACUGUUAACUCAUUGUAUUUCAAAAUUCUAACCUUCAUUUAUUUCUUAUUCUUAGCUUUUGUAUCAAUUAAUGGCUUUCGUCACCCCCGGAUGUCGGCCAGCACGUGUCGGUCCUGGUAUUCGGGGAAUAUCAGGGUCGAGGCGUGUCAUAAUCGCUCCCUGUAAUUUGAUCGGAAAAACGCAAUGUGUGUGGUACAAUUGCUUAUAAAGCACUACACGCUCAUCCUCACUAGGACUCAACAACUUGGCUCAAAUAUAAACCACUAAAAUCACCAAUCUCCACCUUGGCGUGAUUCAAGCCAUGAUGUCCGAUCCCAACGCAAAUAGAGCUCCACCUUGACCACAGGCACCAAAUUCCAAAGGAGCUCGCUCUUCAACUUCAACAAGCAUUGCCUAAGGUCUAAUACCCAUUGUUGUGCGGAAGCACACCAACGGAUUCCACACACACGAGUCGGUAUUGCCGAUAUUCCACCUACUUUAUCCACCAGAAAAAAGGGAUAUGGAUUUUAUCAAAAGGUCUCGGCAAUAUGACAAUUUAAAAAAAAAGUGUAUAAGUUCAUAUAAUAUUUCAAAAAAAUUCCAUACUGAAUUUGCAGGGUAUGAUUAGUAACAAUUAGAGUUAAUCACAUACAUCAAACAACUAGGGUUCAUUAUAGGAGAGAAAAUGAGGGCAACAAUGGGAGCAGACGAAAGGUGAAAGGGGAAAUUAGUUUCCUUGAGAUGGGGGAGACCAAAAUAGGGAUAAACACGACACGCACAUUUGCAUAUAAAUUUCUCUAAUGUCACUAAUGAAUCAAAUAAAAAAAUCAUUAAUUUUUUUGAUAAGAAAAUAAGCUAUAUAUAUGUUUAAUUAAGAAUUCGUUGCAUUGCUUCGCUAAAAAUGCUUCAGCUAAAAGUGCUUUUAUUAUACACUUAGAAAUGCUUUCUUUCAUUUCCCAAUUGUUUCUUCUUCAUCGUCAAAGCUUUCAAUAUUGAGAUCAGAACCUUAAAUCUUUCGCAAUCUGAAGCUUAACUCUGUAUCGUCGUCAGUGUCCUCCUCAUCAGACUCGUAUGGCACACGCUCAUAGUCCACAUCUGUCCAAUCUGAAGCUAUAAAUUCCCAUUCUACGAUAUCCACUCCUGUUUUCUUAACCUUAAUUUGAUGAUCAUCCUCUGUUUCAAUAAAGUCUGCAUGCACACGAACCUUGUCGCCACCUUUCAGAUUGAGCUUCUUGUUUGUAAGAUUUCCCAGCCAAAGAUAACAUUCAUGGGAAGCAGUUACGGUGGUCUCCAUUGGCCAAAUGUGAAAACGAGUUUGCUGGGUACGAUUAACAACAUCAAUGCAUAGGGACCCAGUACAGUCUGAGCUGUCCGAAGAAUAAAUGAUGCACACAACCAACACUCCUAUAUAAUCAAAAGUAGGCGGCACUUCAAUUUCGACAGUUUCAUCCUCUCGCGCGACAUAGGGUAACGAACGAGGAAUAUCAUUUACAGAGAGAGAAAGUCCACCUUCUACAUCCCCCUUCCAUUUCUACAACACGAGGUGCAAAGUUAGUAUAAGCAGCAAUACGAAAAUCAGAGAGGGAGAGCGAAAGUUCCAUACCAAUAGGAUGUUCUCCUUAAAAGUAGCAGUGAGACUGGCGCACCCUUCCAUAUGAAGGGUAUACAGGUUGCACAAGAAGUUAUCCAGGUUUGGAAUAUCAUUGAGUUUGCGGCAGUCUUUCAGUUGCAAUUCAACCAUUUCCAACAUCUCUGGAAGGUCGGGCAUUAUUUCCUAGGACAAUUAGAGAGGAAGGUUAUGUUCCCAACGUCGAUCUCCUGCUACACGACAUGGUGGAUGCUGUCUAGAUUUGAAGUGUUGAGAAAUUUGUUGUCGGGAAAGUUUCGACCCACAUGAAAGGCGUAAUGAUGGACAUACUCUAGGACUGUGAUGUUUUUCUAUCAAAUCACUUGCAUCAAUUUCAUGAAAAUAUGUAGCAGUUACUUGUAUCAAUGGGCAGUGGCUUCUUUUCCAGAAGCAAGGACAAAUUCUACAUACAGAUUCUUGAAGGCAAUCAUCACUGUCAUCAGCAGAGGACCCAUAAUUGCUCCCUGUAAUUUGAUCGAAAAAAACGCAAUUCAAACGUCGUCAAAAGUAAGGUUUAGAAAAGAGGAAUUACUUCCAACAUGGAGGGGAAAAGAGCAAUGCCCCCAAGUAUGCUAAGGCCGGUGAGGUAGGCGAUCUGUCCCGGAAUCUCAUCUUGGAUAGCUGCUGUGCCGUAUUCCAACAGAAUCUGAUGAACUGCCGUCACCAAGCCGGUGUAAUUUGCAAAACAGCGCUCAUAAGAGUAAAGGAUGUGGACAUGUAGAGGAAAUGAAUCUGGUAGAAUCGAAACAAGAGAUACGUAAGCCUCCUUUGAAAGAAUGUGACCUUUGCAGUGGCAAGAUGUGUGUGUGGUACAAUUGCUUAUAAAGCACUACACGCUCAUCCUCACUAGCCGAUGUGGGACUCAACAACUUGGCUCAAAUCUAAACCACUAAAACCACUAAUCUCCAUCUUGGCAUGUCUCACUAUCCAAAUGCAAAUAGAGCUCCACCUUGACCACAGACACCAAAUUCCAAAUGAGCUCGCUCUUCAACUUCAACAAGCGUUGCCUAAGGUUUAAAACCAAUUGUUGUGCGGAAGCACACCAACGGGUUCCACACACACGAGUCGGUAUUGCCGAUAUUCCACCUACUUUAUCCACCACAAAAAAAACGGGUAUGAAUUUUAUCAAAAAAAACCUCGGCAAUAUGUUUGUGUGAUCAUUGCUUAUAAAGCACCACAUGGUCAUCCUCGGUAGCCGAUGUGGGACUCAACUUGGCUCAAAUCUAAGCCACUGAACCCGACAUUCAUCAACCAGAAGGAAGAUUGAGUUGAGAAAAUUUGAAAUGUUAUACACACUUAUACACCAUUUUUAGUUUGUCAUACAAUUAAAAAUUAAGUGAUUUGUCAUAUCAAUUUUCCAAAUUCACUAAUUUGUCAUCCCAACAUAACUUCGUUAAGUUUUUCAUGCAAAUAAGUUGCAAUCUUUGAGAAUUCAACAUGGUCAAUCAUGUCGAUAAAUUUUUUUUUUUUUUGAAAUGUCCGAAACCUUUAAAUGUUUGAAAUAAUCUGAAGUGAGGAGUUGAAAUGUCCAAAAUAACCUUGAAAAAAAGUCAUGUGCAAACCGCAUGACUUAUUUUAGAUAGAAAACUUAACAGAGUUAGAAUAAUAUGACAAAUUAAUAAUUUCGAAAUAUUGAUACGACAAAUUAAAAAAAGUGUAUAAGUUCAUAUAACGUUUCAAAAAAUUUCCAUACUAAAUUUGCAGGGUAUGAUUAGUAACAAUUAGAGUUAAUCACAUGGGAGUGGACGAAAGGUGAAAGGGGAAAUUAGUUUCUUUGAAAUGGGGUGGGGGGAGACCGAGGAAUAAACACGACACACUUGCAUGUAAAUUUCUUUAAUGUCAUUAAUGAAUCAAAUAAAAAAUCAUUAAUUUAUUUGAUAAGAAAAUAAGCUACUUAUAUGUUUAAUUAAGAACUCGUUUAGCAUUGCUUCGCUAAAAACGCUUUAGCUAAAAGUGCUUUUAUUAUACCCACAUUGAAACUCUUAUUAAAAAUUCAAGUACUUUCUAAAAAAGACACUUUGGAAUGCUUUCUUUCAUUUCCCAAUUGUUUCUUCUUCAUCGUCAAAGCUUUCGAUAUUGAGAUCUGAUAAACUCAAAUCUUUUGCAAGGUUGGACCUCAUCAGAUGAGUAAUCGCUUAACUCUUUAUCGUAGUCAUCAGACUCAUAUGGUGCAGUCUGAUAGUCCUCUUCCUCAUCAGACUCAUAUGGUGCAGUCUGAUAGUCCUCUUCCUCAUCAGUAUCUUCAUCAGACUCAUAUGGCACACUCUUAUAGUCCACUUUUAUAAAAUCUUAAAGUACAUAUUCCCAUUCUAUGAUAUCCACUCCUGUUUUCUUCACCUUAAUUUGAUGAUCAUCCUCUGUUUCAAUAAAGUCUGCAUGCACACGAACCUUGUCGCCACCUUUCAGAUUGAGCUUCUUGUUUGUAAGAUUUCCCAGCCAAAGAUAACAUUCAUGGGAAGCAGUUACGGUGGUCACCAUUGGCCAAAUGAGAAAACGUGUUCGCUGGGUACGAUUAACAACAUGAAUGCAUAGGGAUCCAGUACAGUUUGAGUUGUCCGAAGAAUAAAUGAUGCACACAACCAACCUUCCUAUGUAAUCAAAAGUAGGCGGCACUUCAAUUUCGACAGUUUCAUCCUCUCGCGCGACAUAGGGUAACCAGGGAGGAAUAUCAUUUACAGAGAGAGAAAGUCCAUCAAUUGUAUACCCCUCCCAUUUCUACAACACGAGGUGCAAAGUUAGUAUAAGCAACAAUACGAAAAUCAGAGAGGGAGAGCGAAAGUUCCAUACCAAUAGGAUGUUCUCCUUAAAAGUAGCAGUGAGACUGGCGCACCCUUCCAUAUGAAGGGUAUACAUGUUGCACAAGAAGUUAUCCAGGUUUGGAAUAUCUUUGAGUUUGCGGCAGUUUUUCAGUUGCAAUCCAACCAUUUUCGACAUCUCUGGAAGGCCGGGCAUUAUUUCCAGUUCAGUGCAGUAAUUCGCUUCCAGUCUACGCAAACUUGUAGGCAAAUCUGGGAUUGCCUGAAGGUUUGUGCAAUGAUUUAGAAACAAAGAUGUAAGCUGGGAAAGGCCACUGAGGAUGGGUAGCCUAUUAAAACCAUUUCCCUCUAGUGUUAAAAUCCUUAAAGAAGAUAGACUCCGAAGGCUUUCAAGAAUGGCAUCAUCCGUUAUAUUGCAGUCUUCAAGACCUAAAUACUGAAGCAUCUGCAACUGUGCAAAUAAAUGGUAACCCCAAGACACACUCUUACAGCCGUAGAGGCUCAAAACCUCGAGAUGUGGGAGUUUUGAAAAGUCUGGUAAUUGAGUCAGGUUACGGGAAUGAUUGAGAUAAAGAACCUUCAACUUCUUCGGCAACUGUUUGGCAAAAAGAUAGAACAAAAAUCAUAAUCCAUAUUAGAGAGAGAGAGAGAGAGAGAGAGAAUGACUGUCGACUGAUGUUGGUAUUUACAAACACGGACGAGGAAAGGAUUAAUAAUUUGGUUGAGGUUACGACAAUUAUAUGUAUCGUACCAGAUCGGAAUCCUCCCAAACUCGGACAAGCUUGCUGUACCUCAAGUCAAUAAGAACUAAGUUUCGUAAAUCAAAAUCAUCGGGUAUGACCUCUAGAGGAAAUCCCUGCCAACGCAAUAAUCUUAACUCCUUGGAAAGAUGACGGUAGCUUCCAGUGAGCUUUACAUUUUUGAGUCGGAGAAAUUUCAGAUGCCGCAUCUUCUUAAAUGCUUUUGUCCGGAAGGGAUGCUCAUCAGAAUUUUCUGGCAACUCUAAAGUUAGCCCUCUAAUUGCUUCCGUUCCCUGUUGGGGGAAAACAAGAACAAAUCUAAUUCAAGCAGAGCCAUGACUAUCUAUGAACGAACUACAAAUGCAGCGCAUACAAUGCAUUAGAUGUGGGAUAUGCAUAUGCUUCUGUUUAUUUACAUACAUUCAACAUAACAUUUUUAUUGGGAUUUGGGAAAGCACUUACAGAUUCGUCUCUUAACACGCUUGUUACGUCUUCAUGAUGCCAUAAUCGACUACGUUUUCCAGGUUCCAUAGCACAUUCUGCCCGCACAAUUUCUCUUCCCAUGUCUCGAAUCAAAUCAUGCAUCCUAAUGAAUCCUAAAUCAAAAUCUACAAGACAUCGAUCUUGAAUGGUUUUGAAUUCUGAUUCUACACAAAAGUGACUGCAACUAUCCAAUAUUGCCACGACUUCAGUUUCAUCCCGGUUAAUAAAGAAAUGAGAUAUGUCAAGGACACACCUUUCACAUGAUCAUCACUUAGCCCGUCAUAGCUUAAUCUAAGUGUUUCAUGAAUUUUUCCAUCAGGAAUAUUUCUCAAUUUUUCCAAUGUACUUUUCCAUAUGCUUUUACUCUUUUUCGUAGCCAACAAACGGCCUACGACUUUAAGAGCUAGCGGCAAUCCUCCACAAUAAUCGACAACAUCUGUUGCGAGUUCAAUAUAUUCUUCAUCAGGACAAUGAUUUCCAAACGCAUGCCAACUAAGGAGCUCAAGAGCUUCUUCAUCCGUCAUUGUUUGUGCCUUAUAUUUUUUUUCCACCUUCUGUAUAUUCAGCACUUGUUCAUCUCUUGUUAUUAAAAUAAUCCUACUUCCUGGACCAAACGAGUGAUGUUCUAUCGCCAAUUCAUCUAAUUGGUCCGCAUCAUCUAUGUCAUCAACUACGAUGAGUACCUUCAUGCUUCCAAGUCUUUUCUCUAUCUCCUUGGUCCCUUCGGCAACACUACUUAUUUUAAUGUCAGGCCGUUUCAAAAUAUCUCGAAGAAGUUGUUCUUGCAGACUAACCAUAUUUUUCUUUUUACUCCUCACCUCUUCAAGGUAACAUUGACCACGGAAACUAUGAUGGUAUGUGCUAUAAAUGGUUCUCGCAAGCGUUGUUUUACCUAUGCCGCCCAUACCCCAAAUUCCAAUUAUUUGAACAUCAUGUGAACCUUCAACAUCUAAGUAUUUAGUACUGAAUUCUUCCACGCGAAAAGCUAUUCCAACUGAGUGCUUGGCUUCUUUUAAGUCGCUGGUUUUUAGUAGUCCGAUGAUGUCCCCAACAACUUUCUGGAUAAAUACUCCUUCACGCCUGCCAAUUGGAAAUCCAAAUUAUGCAAACAGAUGAUUAAUCAUGCAACAGCAGGAUUCAUAUGAACUAAAUGCCUUAUGCAUCACGACAUGGCUGAUUAGUGAGUAUCCCAAAAGCUAAUUGUACAAGAUGUUGCAAGCGAUUAAAUUUUGUAAAAGAGGAAAUUAGAAAUGAUACCUGUCCGCAGUGGUUUCAAGAUUCCGGCCAACCAAAUCUGCAGAAGCCUUAAGAUCCUUUCUCCACUGCUCGACCUCAUUUGGGUCUUCAUCCCUUUCAUGCUUCUGAAAUGCUUCCCCAAAACUACCACUCUGUUUCCUCACUUCAGAAGGGCCACUCUGUUUCCUCACUUCAGAAGGGUCAACGUCGUAGAAUAUUGGAUAGACUACUUUCCCCUCUUGAUCUUCUCGGCACCUCAUGAUCUUCGACAGCUCCCUCAGGCACCAUCGGGACCCCGCGUAACUCUUUGAGAAGACGACGACCGCGACCCUCGACCCUUCGAUUUCUUGGUCAAGUUCUCUCUGUAUAUUCUCCCCCUUUCUGAGCUCGUAGUCUAUAAACGUGUUGAUUCCGGCAUCGCGUAACGCUUUGAAGACGUGGUCUGUGAACCCAGUGCGUGUGUCCUCGCCUCUAAAGCUCAGGAACACCUCGUACUUCCAGCGGUUUGAACGCCGAGAGGAAGAGGAACCGCCGGCGGCGGCGGUUGCAAGGGCGAGGCUGCCGGUAUUCAUUGAUUUCAAGCAAAGAAGUGAAACUCCUGAUCGUUUCAGUCUAAAGAAAACAAUUCUCUCCCAAGAUUCCCAGCGAAACUCCUGAUUAUUGUUUUGGAUCGCUGGAAGAUGUGAGAGCAAAAAAUAAUGAAGAAAGAAGAGGGAGAGAAGAUGCAAGAUGCGGCUGAGUAAGAAAAGAUGGGAGGGAGAAAAUAAUAACAAAAACUGGGAUUGAAUUAAGUUUUCAACAGACAAAAUAAAUACUAAAGUGAAUAUAUCAGGUUUGACUUUUUAGUGUAAAAAUAUAGUUUUUUGUUUAAGUAAACAGUACCGUUGACUUUUUGUUAAAACUCGCAUAAUAAUAUACCCACAUUUGUAGUAAGAAGGCUUUUCUUAAAAGACCUAGCUUCUCUGUCCUUCCACUUUCCAUAUACUUUCAUCCUCUCUUAUUUGUACGAUCACGGUUAAGUCACGUCUACAUUUUAUAUUCUUAUUAUCUCUAUAAAAAAAUCAAUAUAAAAUGUUGACACUUAACCGUGAUCGCAAAAAAAAAAAAGAAUGAAAGUGUAUAAGAAGUGGAAGAGCAGAGAAGCCGGUCCUUUCUUUAUGGGCUUGAUUGAUUAAGUCUAAUCUACCAAUAUAUUAUAUUUAAUAGGCCUUAUUGUAUAGGUUGUCAUUGUCGACGGCAUCGCGAUCAUUAUUCAAAGCAUAUAAUCAGUUUUUAAUUAAGGUGGAUUACUGUUCUGAUUGGUUUGAAACAUUCAAACUAUUAAAAUGUAAUAUAGUUUUGAAUAAUUGCUAGUGGACGUAUUAAACGAGAGUGCGAGAGGCACGAUAACGAUUCUUAUUGAAAAAUUUAAUCCAUAACACAUGAUGCAAAUUAAUUAAAUACAUAUUCAUACAGGCCAUGAAAUUUAUAAAUCAAGACGUGCUCAAUUAUCAAAUUUAUUAAAAAUUUCUAAGUACCUCAUUAUUUUGUUUGGAUUGAUCAGUUGACCCGAUUAAAAUGCCCACCCUACUUGAGAACCUGCAUUUACAUCGAAUAUGAGAACUUGGCUAGGUCUCGUCCAUGUCCUUAGUACAAUUAUCCAUUAAUGGUCAUAUAUAAUGUAAUGGCAUUUUUUUUUCGAACGACCAUAUUUGACCAUCAAUAAAUGAUUGCAAUAAGUACUUCAAUCCCUAGCUAAUAUUAUUAAACUCGAAUCGCAACGUUUACAUCGAAAAUCAGAGUAUUAAACAAUUCUUGCUCCACGGUUACCUAGUGUCCCCAUUAAAAUUGAAAGAAGGCUACAUGUGCUCUUAGCAAAUUAUUAUUGGCACUUCAAAAAUCUCAUUUUGCACUCCAAACUUUCUAUAAUUAGAAAGAAAAAUAUACUUGUGAGAAGUGUAGAAUGAGAUUGUUGGACUGCUAAUAACAGUUCCCUAAAUAAAUAAAUAAAAUUAAUAUAUAUUCGGUUCGGUUUUAGAAUCAUUGAAACCGAAACCAAACCAAAUGAUUUCGGUUUGAUUCGAUUUUUUGUUCAGUUCGUUUUUUAGGUUUCGGUUCAAUGUUCCGUUCAUUUUUUUUCCUAUUUUUAAUCCACCCUUAGUUCACGACCUUAUUCUAUUUUAAAGGUGGUGUACAGGUUGGUUCAACUGAUGUUGAUGGACGUCAUGGGUUUAUGAACAAACAUGACAAGGUUGCACUGGACAUGGCACAUGUUUGUGGGUUUUGCAUUGAUUGAAUUGUAUUUUAAAUGCAAACAGAUGAGCCAGAGUUUGGCAAUCAAUGCUCCAAUUAGGAUAAAGUCUGAGGACCAAUUUUAACAUUAACAAAACAUAAUAAUAGUAAUAUGCCACUUAUUCAAUAUGCUAAUAUUCAAUCUGAUUUUAAUGAUUCACAUGCAACGAUUUCAUAGUCACAUGAUGUUUUAAUAUUGUAUGUAUAAUUUUUUUAGAGACAUCACGCGACGAAAGGCCAGGGUUCUGCUGUCCCGAACUUUGUGUCUCCUGCCAUGUCUCCUUCUAAUUAUGUCAUUUAACUUAACUCCCAAUUUAACAGUGUCAACUUUUCUUAAUUAAUAUUUAUUUAAAUACAAAAACUGAUUCCCCAAAGAAAAUUGAAAAUCAAAACAAAAAGAAAACAAAUCCCAACUGGAAGUCCGAAAGUCUGCAGCUCCCUCCAAUCUCAGUCGGCGGCAAUUCACACGGCCGUUGAAGCUUCCAUUACACUCUCUUUCUAUAUCUCACCAGCGAAGUCCCGUAGGAUGAUUGAGUCAAACCUUCCCGUAUAUUAUGAUCUCGCCGUUUAUUGUCAUCGAGUCGAUUCAAAUCUCGUUUCUAUAGAUUGACCAAAUUUCUUCCUUGCUUCCUCAAACCAAAAAUUACAUAAAAUUUGAUGUUUGACGGGCCGGGUUGAUCACGAUUGGGUAUUUGAACGGAGAAAAAAAUGGCGAACAGAGAGAAAAGGAGGUUUCGCCAGCCGUGGAGUUCUCCGAUGACAGACCGAUGUUGUUGGCUGUCGAAUUGGUGUUGAUGGGAAUUUGAGUGGCUGUUGCUUUUAAUUUUUUAACUUUUAGUUUUUAUUUAUUUAACCUUAUUAAACAUUUUUUGACAAAAAAAGCCUUAUUAAACAUUUGACACUGUUAAAUUACAAGUUAAAUUAAAGGGUAUAAUUAGAAGGGGACAUGAAAGGAGACACAAAUUUAGGGACAUCAAAUCCCUGGCCGUGUAAAGAGGAUGAGAGCCUACGGACCCUAAUGAGCUUGACCACUGGUUUGAUUGAUGACUAAGAAUUAACAUCUCUUUUUAUGUGACUUGAAGCACAAUUAGGUUUGAUAUAAAAUAAUACAAGAAAGUAUGAACCUAAGAAUUUGUAGUGGAAAAUACAAAAGGUUUUUAAUAUACCAAAGAAAUAACGUAUCAAUCAUGAGUUGUACGUUGUUUUGUAUUUGUCACUGAUGGAUUAGUCAUCGUCAUUGUCAAUGUCAUCGUCAAACUCAUAUGAUAUAGUAUGAUAAUCCUCCUCACUAGUAUCAUUAGGCUCUAUAUAGUACACGUUUAUAAUGCACCAUAUUCACUCCUGAACGAAAAAAGUAUAGGAAAACAAAAAUUGGUAGAAAGUGAGAGACUCAGAGCAGUUCCACCGGAGCUUUGUUUGCCCAUCACCCAGUAAAAAAAAACACACUGAGGGUCUGUCCAUUCACUUCAGCCAACAAAGUUGCCUGACACCCAACCCAAGCCAGGCAACAAACCAGCCCAUUUUUGACAGACCCAAGAGCCGGCCUAUUUGGCUGGCGCGUGGCCGCGAGUAGGAGACAAGGUUGCAGAGGGCUGUCAACCCACUUGUGCUCCGGAGCCCCAUUAGUGACGUGGCAUGUUCAUAGCCGUUGGAUUUCCAACAGUAAAAAAAAUUUAAAAUUUACUUUUAAACUGGACCGUCCGAUCACAAAUCAACGGUCCACGUUUUUUACCCCAAUACAGAAAAUUUUUAAUAAAUUUAGAUAUUAUUAUUAUUAUUAUUUUAUUUUUUAUAAAUUCAGAAAUUAAAAAUAAAAUUAUUAUUUUAUAAUAAAAAUACUAAUAUUUUAAUAAAAUGGACUAUGCUAUUCUUUGUUAGGGGUGGAGAUGCUUUGGCCUAUUACUAUUCACUGAGGUCUAUUACUGUUCACUUGAGUAGAUAAAUGCGCUGGGUGCUGGCACAAAGUCCUUAGGGGUGGACUUGCUCUUAGUGAAAAAGAAGAGAGUGGUAUUUUGGGAGAAUGAUUCUACGAUCUGUAUGUUCACAUAGAUGUGAAUUAUACGUAUUACAAUUUGACCUUGUACAAACAUUUAGGGCACGUUUGUUUGGCCGGCUUAAGUUUCACUGGACUGGACUACUAAGCUAGAAUCAGUAGUCCUGUGUUUGGUGUAAAUUGGGAUUGUGUUUAAUGGGAUUAAGCCGGACUCGUGCCGACUAAAUUCUUCGCUAGGUGGGCUUAGCGAGAGCCACCAAAAACGAGGGGAUUUGUAGUCCCGCUUCUGUUCUUCUCUUCACCUCAUGUUGCUUCGCUUCACCCCAGGCUUGAACGACAACUUGCGGUCCCUUUCUCUGACUCUCUCUCUCUCCUCCUCCCUCUUCUUCAUCUCAGAAGAUCUCCAAAUCUGCAAUUUUGGGUUUGACGGAAACGAAUCCAAGAAAUCCAAGCCAUAGCCGUCUCUCAUUUCCCCGACUCCACAAACCCUGACUCGUUGCCGAACAGCUUGCCAGGCAUUGUUGCAGGCUGGUUCCGCCGCUCCACAGGCUUGCGGCUCCGAUUGAAUCCACGGACUUGGAAAGCUCUCUCCAGUUGUAAUCUUGCACCGAACAAAAACCUGAAAAACCAAGCUCGAUUCUUCGUUUUGCAGAAAAAAAAUUUGGCAAUUAAUCGGAAAAAAAGAGGACAGGAAUGAGAGAGUGGGACGGAGAGAACGAGGGAGAUAAAGAGGGAGAAAAGGAUGAGGCUUCCACAGAGAGAGGGAGAGUUUUAUUAGAAUAAAAAAGGUAGAAUUAAUUAAUAUAAUAUUAUUAGAUAUGAAUUAAAAAAUAUAAUAUUGUAGUUUGCUAUUAUCCUUCUUUUUAGUCCGACACUGCACCAAACGCUUCACUAAGUUAGUCCAGCUUAGUCUAGUCUAAGUCAGUCCAGCUUAGUCCCUGAAGCUAGUCCAGUCUGAGAUAGUCCGGUGCAACAAACGCACCAUUAAGUGAUUCAUGUAUUUGCUGAAUAGUUCAAAUUCAUCGCACUCUUUUCAUUUCCUCAAACAAAACAGAACAAAGAUAGACUCUUAAUUCAUAAAAUGUGGAACAUUUGUCCUUUUACACAUACAUAAUAAACGAAGCAUGUAACAUGUGUUUCACUUGCUUAAUUUGUCGGAAGUUCUCAUGCAAAUGCUAUGCAUUUUAUAAAAUUCUAAUACCAAUUCUAUACAUCUCGUCAAAGAGAGAUAAAAACACGCCACACAAGGGAAAAAACGAAGAAAACCGACUUGACUGGAUUCGACACAGGUAACUUAGAGCCACAAGUGUAACUACCAACGAAACUCAAUCUGGUUUUAUGAGAUUGUGAGAUUCUUUUGGGGUUACCAAGUGAGUCUUCUGCAUGAAAAGGAGGGAAGUCUUUGCGAAUAUGCUUGCAUAAUGUAACAACGUGAAAUCAGCGGCGUAAUUGCACUCUCAAACCCUCAAAGCCGGCCUUUCCCAGGACAGAUUCUUUGCCACAAAACUCGACGCUCUGUAUGCAAAAUAUGAGUCGCUCGGUCAUGCCCGCAAGGUGUUCGAUGAAACGCCCUACAGAAGUGUCUAUCUCUGGAACGCCAUUCUCAGGAGCUACUGUAGAGAGGACCGAUGGGAGGAGACCUUGUGUUUAUUUCGUAACAUGAUGUCUGAGUCAAGAGGUAAUGAUGAAAAGCCUGAUAAUUUCACCAUUCCCAUUGCUCUGAAGGCGUGUGCGAGGUUAAGGGCGUGUGCGAGGUUAAGGGCGUUCGCGUGUGGAAAAAUAAUACAUGGGUUUGUGAAGAAACAUGAGAAGGUUGCAUUGGAUAUGUUUGUAGGUUCUGCAUUGAUUGAAUUGUAUUCCAAAUGCGGACAAAUGGGUGAGGCUGUGAAAGUGUUUGACGAGCCGACAUUCACCUCUCCUAGACCCUACGUAAAGCGGGAGCCUUGUACACUGGUACGACCUUUUAUGUGUUUUUGUAUACUUUUAUGGUUACUGGAUAUGAGCAGAAUGGUGAUCCUGAAGAAGCAUUGGAGUUUUUCUCCCGAAUGGUGAUGGUGGGGCGCAUUAAUCAUGACCGAGUGACGCUUAUUAGUGCUGUUUUGGCUUGUGCUCAGUUAUCAAAUUUUAGAAUUGGAAGUUUUGUGCGUAGUGUUUCUAUUAGGAAUGGGUUCAACUCUAAUUUAUCUUUAGGUAAUGCGUUGCUAAUUCUAUAUGCAAAGACAGGUUCUGUCAAAACUGCCGCUAGGUUGUUCAUGAAGAUGCCGGAAAAAGAUGUGGUUUCUUGGAGCUCCAUGAUUGCGUAUUACACUCAUAAUGAGGAUGUAAUAGAAGCGUUAAAUCUUUUCAACGAAUAUUGAUAUGAGAACCGAACCUAAUUUAGUGACUCUGGUAUGUGCAUUGCAAGCAUGUGCACUGGCAGGUAAUUUAGAAGAAGGUAAGAAGAUCCACGAAAUUGCUACUAAGAAGUGUUUCGAGUUAGAUAUCAAGGUAGCUACAGCCCUGAUUGAUAUGUACAUGAAGUGCUCUGCACCCGAAAAAGUAGGUGAUCUCUUCAAUAUAAUGCCAAAGAAAGAUGUGGUUUCGUGGGCUGCCUUGUUGAGCGGGUAUGCUCAUAACGGAAUGGCAUACAAGUCAAUUGGGGUCUUUCGCGACAUGUUAUUAGACAAAACUAAUCCUGAUGUCGUUGCUAUGUUCAAGCUUCGUGCAGCUUGUUCGGAAUUAGGGAUUCUUCAACAAGCUUUUUGCCUCCAUGCUUAUGUGAUUAAACGCGCCUUCAAGAAUAACAUCUUUGUUGAAGCUUCACUCAUAGAGUUAUACUCGAAAUGCGGCAGCAUAGGCAAUGAUGUCCUAUUAUUUGAAGGGAUAACAGACAAAGAUGUCGUUAUCUGGAGUGCAAUGAUGGCAGGUUAUGGAGUUCAUGGGCAAGGAGAAGUAGCUUUAAAAGUAUUUGAUCGGAUGGUUAAGCAUUCAAAUGUCAAGCCUAAUGAUGUAACAUUUCUCUCGAUUUUAUCUGCGUGUAGCCAUUCGGGUUUGGUUGAAGAAGGCAUUGAGAUAUUCAACACGAUGUUGCAUGAAUACCAACUUAAGCCAUGACCUGAGCAGUACGGGAUAAUUGUUGAUCUUCUUGGCAGGACAGGAGAGCUGGAUAAGGCAAUGGAAAUCAUUGAGAGAAUGCCCAAUCCAGCUGCACCGCAUAUUUGGGGAGCCUUGCUUGGUGCAUGCCGGAUUCAUAAUAACACAAAGCUUUGAGAGGUUGCACCUAAGAGUCUUUUUCAGUUGGAUCCUAAUCAUGCAAGGUAUUACAUCUUGCUGUCGAAUAUAUAUGCCAUCGAUAACAAAUGGGAAAAUGUGACAAAUCUCAGAACUUUGAUAAAGGAGAAGGUGUUAAAGAAGAUGUCCGGGCAAAGCGUUGUCGAGGUGGGGAAUGACAUCUGUAGUUUUGUUGCCGGAGAUAGAUUGCACCUUGAUUCCGAUCAGAUUUAUGAAGUGCUAGGAAAUUUAGAGGUGAAAAUGAGAGAGGAAGGUUAUGUUCUCAAUGUCGAUCUCCUGCUACACAACAUGGCGAAUGCUAUCUAGAUUAGAGCGAGGGAUGUUGACAUGUAGAGGAAAUGAAUCCGGUAGAAUAGAAACAAGAGAUACGCAAGGCUCCCUUGAAAGCACUACACGCUCAUCCUCACUAGCUGACGUGGGACUCAAUCACUUGGCUCAAAUCUAAGCCACCAAUCUCCACCUUGGCGUGAUUCAAAUGCAAAUGCAAAUAGAGCUCCACCUUGACCACAGACACCAAAUUUCAAAUGAGCUCGCCCUUCAACUUCAACAAGCGUUGCCUAGGGUCUAAUACCAAUUGUUGUGCGGAAGCACACCAUCGGGUCUUACACACACGAGUCGGUAUUGCCGAUAUUCCACCUACUUUAUCCACACAAAAAAGGGUAUGGAUUUUAUCAAAAAGCCUUGGCAACAUGUUUUGUGUGAUCAUUGCUUAUAAAGCACCACAUGGUCAUCCUCAGUAGCCGAUGUGGGACUCCACUUGGCGCAAAUCUAAGCCACCGAACCCAACAUUCAUCAACCAGAAGGAAGAUUGAGUUGAGAAAAUUUGAAAUGUUAUACACACUUAUACGCUAUUUUUAGUUUGUCAUACAACUAAAAAUUUGAGUGAUUUGUCAUAUCAAUUUUCCAAAUUCACGAAUUUGUCAUCUCAACUUAAUUUCGUUAAGUUUUUUCAUGCAAAUAAGUUGCAAUCUUUGAGAAUUCAACAUGGUCAAUCAUAUAACGGAGUUAGAGUAAUAUGACAAAUCAAUAAUUUGUAAAUAUCGACAUGACAAAACGCUUAAAAUUUUAAUUCAUAUGACAAAUAAAAAAAAGUGUAUAAAUUCAUAUAACAUUUCAAAAAAAAUUCCAUACUGAAUUUGCACGGUAUGAUUAGUAACAAUUAGGGUUAAUCACAUACAUCAAACAACUAGGGUUAAUUAUAGGAGAGAAAAUAAGGGCAACAAUGGGAGUGGACGAAAGGUGAAAGGGGAAAUUAGUUUCUUUGAAAUGGGGUGGGGGGAGACCUACAGAGGGAUAAACACGACACAAACUUGCAUGUAAAUUUCUCUAAUGUAACUAAUGAAUCAAAUAAAAAAUCAUUAAUUUAUUUGAUAAGAAUAUAAGCUACUUAAAUGUUUAAUUAAGAGCUCGUUCGGCAUUGCUUCGCUAAAAACGCUUCAGCUAAAAGUGCUUUUAUUAUACCCACAUUAAAUCUUAUUAAAAAAGGAAAACUAAUUAAAAGGGUUUGAAAACUUUGAGUUUUAACGAUAAGGACAAAAUAAAGGGUAAAAUGAAUAGUAGCAGAUUUGACUUUUUAGUGUAAAAAUGUGAUUUUUCAUUAAAGUGAACAUUACCGUGGGCUUUUUGUUAAAACUCCCUAUUAAAAAUUCAAGUACUUUAUAAAAAGACACUUUGGAAUGCUUUCUUUCAUUUCCCGAUUGUUUCUUCUUCAUCGUUAAAGCUUCCAAUAUUGAGAUCAGAUAACCUUAAAUCUGUUGCAAGGUUGGACCUCAUCAGAUGAGUAAUCGCUUAACUCUGAAUCGUCGUCAGAGUCCUCCUCAUCAAACUCAUAUGGUGUAGUCUGCUAGUCCUCCUCCUCAUCAGUAUCUUCAUCAGAAUCAUAUGGCAAACGCUUAUAGUCCACUUCUAUCAGAUCUGAAAGUACAUAUUCCCAUUCUACGAUAUCCACUCCUAUUUUCUUCACCUUAAUUUGAUGAUCAUUAAAGUAUGCAAGCACACGAACCCUGUCGCCACCUUUCAGAUUGAGCUCCUUGUUUGUAAGAUUUCCCAUCCAAAGAUAACAUUCAUGGGAAGCAGUUACGGUGGCCUCCAUUGGCCAAAUGUGAAAACGAGUUCCCAGGGUACGAUUAACAACAUGAAUGCAUAGGGACCCAGUACAGUCUAACUUGUCUGAAGAAUAAAUGAUGCACACAACCAACCCUCCUAUAUAAGCAAAAGUAGGCGGCAUUUCAAUUUUGACAGUUUCAUCAUCUCGCGCGAAAUAGGGUAACGAGCGAGGAAUAUCAUUUACAGAGAGAGAAAGUCCACCAAUUACAUCCCCCUUCCAUUUCUACAACAUGAGGUGCAAAGUUAGUAUAAGCAACAAUACGAAAAUCAGAUAGGGAGAGCGAAAGUUCCAUACCAAUAUGAUGUUCUCCUUAAAAGUGGUAGUGAGACUGGUGCACCCUUCCAUAUGAAGGGUAUACAUGUCGUUGUUGCACAAGAAGUUAUCCAGGUUUGGAAUAUCUUUGAGUUUGCAGCAGUCUUUCAAUUGCAAUAUAAUCAUUUCCGACAUCUUUGAAAGGUCGGGCAUACUUUCCAGUUCAGUGCAGUAAUUCACUUCCAGUCUAAGAAAACUUGUCGGCAAAUCUGGGAUUGCCUGAAGGUUUGUGCAAUGAUUUAGAUAUAAAGAUUUAAGCUGGGAAAGGCCACUGAGGAUGGGUAGCCUUGUUUGGGUUAAAACUUGAAAUUUGGGCUCAAAAGGGAGUUGGCCCAAGAGAAGGUCUAGAAUGAGAGAAGCCCAAAGCUCAGCCGAAGCCCAGAAAGCAGAAGAGGCCCUUUCCCGACUAAGUGCAAAUCAUUUGCACCACUUGCUCACCUACCUAGAGGUUAAGUGGUGUAGACCAGCUAACUAAUCAGCCCAAAAGUACUUUAUAAUGGCAGUACAAGUAAAUAGUUGAUGAGUCACUGCCCUUCAAGCUACAUUCAGGCAAGAUUAAUGCUACAGGAGGCCAAGCCAAACUGUCUAUAAAAGAAGAAAGAGAAAUCAGAGAUAAACACACUCAAACAAACAAACAAAUACACAAACUCUGCUCAAACCAGAUUUGCAUACAAAGCUGUAGUCAGCAUCAAGCCUUCAUCCCUUUCGGGAUCAACCUUCACCAAAAGCCUUUGUAAAAGCUCUGCUACCUUGUCUAAAUCUUGCUCUAGUAUCAAUUUCCUUCUGUAAACUCACCUCCCUAUCCCCCUCUCUAGCUCUCAAACCCUUUUGUAAAUCACAAAGAUAGGAAGUUGCAAGACGAUCAGCCUUGCCCGACCCUCUUUGUUUUUGUCUUUUCAUUCAUAAAUCUAGUAAUAUGUUGUAUACUGCCAUUUGUAUCCAAGUUAUUUCUAGCAAGUUUAUGAUUAAAAGACUUCUCAGUUCUUGAAUCCGAUCGGGUUAAUAGUGCCCAACCAUGCAAAAGAUAAGUUGGAAUAUGCACUCGCAGCUUAAUAAGAUCUAAGUUCUAAUCUCUCGGGCGUACAAGAUUGAUUAUUCAAAAGUCCUUAGUCUCAAGGCAUAAAAAAGAACUUUAUGUGGACUUAAUCCAUCCACGACAAUCCUUGAUAACAAGAAGUCCGAAGUUGCUUGGGGCGCAAGUAAUCGACUUAUUUAUUAGUUUUAUCUCUGUUAUAUUAUAAUCAUCAUAGAACGUUUGAGAAUAGAAUUAAUUCUGAUAGGAAGCCUUAAGGCUUAUACCUAAGGCCCUACAAAGGCACCUAUUUGAGUUCAUUCUGCUCUUCAGGCUCGGGUGAUUAGAAGUAUAAUAGUUAUAAUACUCUGCAACAAUGAAACAACCAUUAUAUGUUCGAGUACUUGGUUAGUUCUUGAUUGUGAGCCUCAAGGCCUACACCUAAGACCCCACAAAGGCACCUUUCAUAACUAAAAUAGUCUAUCGGGCAUAUAUAAAAUUAAACUCAACAUCUGUUUUACAUCUGCCAUAUUAAAGAUGGCAGUGGCACGCCUGAGCACUUAAAAGUUAAUUUUGAUUGUGAGCCUCAAGGCCUACACCUAAGGCCCCAUAAAGGCACCUUUCAAAGUUAACUCUGUCAUUCUCUUUCAGCCUUGCCUGACAGGCCUUGCACGACAAGCCCACCAGUAAGCAGAAGCCCGACAGACAGUAUCAACCGGCGCCAACCUCUCGGGGAGCUGUGUGCUCGUUCGCUAAGAAACGUCCUCAUCGGAAAUUUUAGUGACGAACAUAGUUUUGGCACGCCCGGUGGGAUUCGUUAAUCAGAUCUUACUUGCCAAAGAAAUAUGUCAAGAAAACCUGAAGAUUUGAAAAGGGCAGUUGUUCCAGAAAAAUUUAAUGAAGACUUGCAAACUACCUUGUUGCAAAUGUUGCAGAGAUUGGAAAACGCCUCCACGGGCUUUAGAAGGAAAACAAACCUGGUUAUAAAACCAACUAUUCCUAUAUCUUUACCUCUAGUUGGGGACAAAGAUGAUGGGGAAGAAGAAAGAGGAAAAACCAGCCAGCCAGAGGAAGCAGUGGUGGAUAAAUACACAGAUCCUUUCUCAGAGGCCCUAGUAAAUAUGAUUAAUUUGGCAUGGGCCGAGAAGGGGAAAGAAAAAGUAGCAAUGGAAAUAGAAGAAGGAAAACCGGGUGACAAAUCCACAAAAGGGGUAAUCAAAGUGCCUGAACAUCCAAAAGCAGCUAUAAUCAAAGGGAUGGUUCUUUGCAGUAAAUGCCAAUGUGAGUGUGAGCUCGAAAUACCGCUAGCUGGAAUCCUCAUGGAUCAUGAGUUGAUCAGGAGGAAAGAAGAAGAAGAAAGAAAGGAGGCCCGCGAGAAAGCUAGGAGGACAACAGGGAGAGAUACUUCCCGAAGUGUUUUUCAGCGGUUAUGAGGUGAUUCCCAACCUAGAACUUUAUCAGAAAUAUUUCGAAAUCAUGAAGCUUCUGAGGAGGAGGAAGACAAGGAGGCCAAAAAUCCAAAAGAGAAGGGUAUAGAGCAUCCUCAAUAUGGCCAUAUGGGAAGAGAAGUCAAGAGGAAUGAUAGGAUAACAAAUCCUGUCAAAAAAUAUAAUCCUGCCCGCCUCGGGCGAAAAUGGUACAUGGUUGGAAAUAAUGGACAGCCCACCAAACAAAUGGGAGCCUCUAUGGUCAUAAGGGUCCAAAGGCAGCACAAAGCCUACAUGAACUUUUUAAAGAACCCCGCGACUUCUGAAGCAUCCAAGAAUCAAAAGUUUGAAAAAACAUCAUCUGGGGGGAGUAGUCAGUUCCACUGGAUAAGUAAAAAAGAGGUGGAGAGGGCUAAUAGCAAAACAGAAGGCGAGGGAAACCAUGUACCACAAAGCCUACAUCCUGGAAAGUACAAAAUAUUGAGGAGAGCUCAAGAAGAUAUGAUAAUGAUGCCAACUCCCGGAUGGAAGACAUAACCUAUUUGUUUUGGAACUGUUUCGCCCGAAAUGAGACCACUUUCUCUAUUUUUGGUGGAUUCUUUCGGUAAAAUUCCAAAGCAAAUACCGCAUUCGGGCAUGAAUCAACAGGAGGGGGCACCAGAACCACUACUCCCAAAAGAUGCGAUGACCUGGUUGGAUGAGUUCAUGGGCCAGAUCGAAAGCAAGAAAGAAGACCUUCCAGAGCCUAGCAAUUUUCAUAUCAAUAUGGCGUAUGUGUUAUCCGCCAUGUUUGGUGUCGAGCCUAAUCAGCCCGCCACUAUGGAAGGGGACUAUAUGACAACGGAGCCAAUGAUGGCCCAUGUCAGUGUUGAGGUAGCUGGAGAAAGAAAGUCGGGAAAAGCUGAAUCAUCUGAAGCAUCCAAUGAUGGUCCUUUAAGGAUUUAUACAGAUAAAAUGGUGUUCAGUCGCCCAAACAUGUUGCUAGCCAACCACCUUAAGCCAAUAUAUGUUGCAGCACAUUUGAAGGGGGUGCCUUUUAAAAGAAUUUUAAUUGAUGGAUGAGCGGCUGUUAACGUACUGCCAGACAAGCAAAUGAAGAAGAUGAGGAGAUGUAUAAAAGAUCUUAUUCCCACGGACCUCACGGUUUCAAGCUUCUCGGGCGCCAUCACCAAAACUCAUGGAAUAUUGCCCUUAGAAGUGGACUUGGGGUCCAAACAAAUCAUGUUGGCAUUCUUUGUGGUGGAUUGCACUUCCACCUAUAGAGCAUUACUUGGAAGGGACUGGAUCCACCAAAGUCUCGCCAUACCCUCCACUCUACAUCAGCAAGUAGUUGUUUAUCAUGAGACAGAGACAGAGGGACCAGGCUUUUGGGAGAUGGUAGAGGCCGAAUCACGGCCAUUUCUCCUUACAGCCAAUGUUGCGGAGGCAAGUUUCUACAAUCCCAACGUAGGAAUUCUGAAAUGUUCAUGAGCAGAUGAGAACGGCCGCCCUACCAAGGUGACGGCCCAAAAGCUCUUAGAACAAGGAAUGCUCCUUACUAGAGAGGAGUGGGAUAGACCCUGUAUCGUCUCAACGCCCCUACACCAUCAAUGACAGAACAAAAAAGGAAGGAUCAGGUAAUGGUAGUUAAGUCCCUGAUAAAAAAACUAUUGGUAUAUGGGAGAGAAAGAAAGCAAGAAAGGGAGCUCUUAGAGAAAGAAGAGCAGGAAGGGUAGCUAGGAACUCCAACCAACCAUGGUGAAAUCGGAGAAGAGCUUUACGGAGAAGAAUUGGAUGUGGCCAUACGAAUGGCCGAUUGCAUAUAUGACUUGGAUGGGCCAGACGACUUGCCCGAAAGCCCGGAGUUAGUUGAAUUUUUGUGCACAGAACCUGACAAAGCACUUCCAGAGGUUCAGGAUCCUUUGGAAGUCAUUGAUUUGGGAACAGAAUGAGAUCCAAGACCUAUUAAAAUUAGUGGCUUGUUAGAGACUAAUGAUCAGGCAAAGAUUAUCUGUCUUCUACAAGAAUUUAAAGAUUGUUUUGCUUGGCACUAUACUGAGAUGCCAAGUUUAUAUUCAACCUUGGUGGAACACAGAAUGCCCAUCAAUGAGGGGUAUAAACCUGUUAAGCAGACGUCACGAAGGAUGUCAAAGGAAAUAGAAGAAAAGGUCAAAGAAGAAAUUAAAAAACUAGUGAAAGCUGGAUUUAUUAGACUUGCCAAGUAUGUAGAAUGGUUGGCCAACAUUGUACCCGUUUUAAAAGUUAUAACUAAAGCAGUACGAUGUUGUGUUGAUUACAGAAAUAUUAAUGGCGCUACACCAAAAGAUGAAUACCCCAUGCACAUGGCUGACCUAUCCAUAGAUGCAGUGGCAAAACACAAAAUCUUAUCUUUUAUGGAUGGAAAUGUCCGGUAUAAUCAGAUAAAGAUGGCCCAUGAAGAUAUACAAAAAUAGUUUUUAGGUGUCCUAGGCAUGUGGGGCAUAUGAAUACCUGGUUAUGCUAUUCGGGUUCAAGAAUGCUGGUGCAACCUACCAAAGGGCAAUGAAUGCCAUCUUUCAUGAUUUGAUUGGCCAGAACAUGGAGGUGUACAUCGAUGACAUCGUGGUGAAAUCCAAAACAGAAGAGCAACAUCUAACAGACCUCAGGCAAGCUUUAACAAGGAUGAGGAUCCAUAAGCUAAAAAUGAAUCCAAAGAAGUGCGCAUUUAGAGUGAGAGCGGGCAACUUCUUGGGAUUCCUGGUUCAUAAAAAAGAAGUAGAAGUGGACAAGAACAAAUCUCGGGCAAUAAUGAAGUCGCCUUCACCCACCAACAAAGUACAACUUCAGAGGCUGCUAGGCAAAAUUAAUUUCUUGAGGAGAUUCAUUGCCAAUUUAGCGGGCAAGAUCCAACCACUGACUCUUCUGCUGAGACUAAAGGAUAAAGAAACUUUCGAGUGGGGACUACCACACCAAAAGGCUUUUGACAGCAUCAAAGCCUAUUUGACUUCUCCACCAGUGUUGGUACCACCUCAAAGGGGAAAACCCUUAAAGCUAUAUAUCUCUGCUUCAGAAAAAUCAAUCGGGAGUCUACUAGCUUAAAACAAUGAAGGCGGGAAAGAGCAGGCAGUGUACUACCUCAGUAGAAUUUUGACUGAGGUAGAAACAAGAUACUGACCAGUAUUUCACUCAUAUAUCUAGUAAUAUGUUGCAAGACGAUCAACCUUGCCCGACCCUCUUUGUUUUUGUCUUUUCAUUCAUAAAUCUAGUAAUAUGUUGUAUACUGCCAUUUGUAUCCAAGUUAUUUCUAGCAAGUUUAUGAUUAAAAUACUUCUCAGUUCUUGAAUCCGAUGGGGUUAAUAGUGCCCAACCAUGCAAAUGAUAAGUUGGAAUCUACACUCGCAGCUUAAUCAGAUCUAAGUUCUAAUCUCUCGGGCAUACAAGAUUGAUUAUUCAAAAGUCCUUGGUCUCAAGGCAUAAAAAAAAACUUUAUGUGGACUUAACCCAUCCACGACAAUCCUUGAUAACAAGAAGUCUGAAGUUGCUUGAGGCGCAAGUAAUCGACUUAUUUAUUAGUUUUAUCUCUGUUAUAUUCUAAUCAUCAUAGAAUGUUUGAGUAUAGAAUUAAUUCUGAUAGGAAGCCUCAAGGCCUAUACCUAAGGCCCUACAAAGGCACCUAUUUGAGUUCAUUUUGCUCUUCGUGCUCGGGUGAUUAGAAGUAUAAUAGUUAUAAUACUUCUGCAACAAUGAAACAACCAUUAUAUGUUCGAGUACUUGGUUAGUUCUUGAUUGUGAGCCUCAAGGCCUACACUUAAGGCCCCACAAAGGCACCUUUCAUAACUAACACAGUCUCUCGGGCAUAUAUACAAUUAAACUCAACAUCUGUUUUACAUCUGCCAUGCUAAAGAUGGCAGUGGCACGCCUGAGCACCUAAAAGUUAAUUUUGAUUGUGAGCCUCAAGGCCUACACCUAAGGCCCCAUAAAGGCACAUUUCAAAGUUAACUUUGUCAUUCUUUUUCAGCCUUGCCCGACAAGCCUUGCCCUACAGGCCUUGCACGACAAGCCCACCAAUAAGCAGAAGCCUGACAGACAGUAUCAACCGGUGCCAACCUCUCGGGAAGCUGUGCGCUCGUCCGCGAGGAAACGUCCCCAUCGGAAAUUCUAGUGACGAACAAGCCUAUUAAAACCAUUUCCAUCUAGUUUUAAAGUCUCUAAAGAAGGUAGACUCCGAAGGCUUUCAAGAAUGGCAUCAUCCGUUAUAUUGCAGUCACUAAGAUCUAAAUACUGAAGCAUCUUCAGUAGUGCAAAUAAAUGGUAACCCCCAGACACACCCUUACAUCUGUUGAGGCUCAAAUACACGAGAUGUGGGAGUUUUGAAAAGUCUGGUAAUUGAGUCAGGUUACGGGAAUGAUUGAGAUAAAGAAACAUCAACUUCUUCGGCAACUGUUUGGCAAAAAGAGAGAACAAAAAUCAUAAUCCAUAUUAUAGAGAAAGAGAGAUAGGGGGAGAGAGAAAGAGAGAGAAUGACUGUCGACUGGUAUUUAAAAAACACGGACGAGUAAAGGAUUAAUAAUUUGGUUGAGGUUAUGACAAUUAUAUGUAUCGUACCAGGUCGGAAUCCUCCCAAACUCGGACAAGCUUGUUGUAGCCCAAGUCAAUAAAAACUAAGUUUCGUAAAUCAAAAUCUUCGGGUAUGACCUCUAGAGGAAAUCCAUGCCAACACAAAAAUCUUAACUCCUUGGAAAGAUGACGGUAGCUUCCAGUGAGCUUUACAUAGUGGAGUUGGAGAAAUUUCAGAUGCCACAUCUUAUUAAAUGCUUUUGUGCGGAAGGGAUGGUCAUGAGUGUUUUCAGGCAACUCUAAAGUUAGCCCUCUAAUUGCUUCUGUUCCCUGUUAGGGGAAAACAAAAACAAAUCUAAUUCAAGCAAAGCCAUGACUAUCUAUGAAUGAACUACAAAUGCAGCACAUACAAUGCAUUAGAUAGGGGAUAUGCAUAUGCUUCUGUUUAUUUACAUACAUUCAACUUAUACAUUUUUUAUUGGGAUUUGGGAAAGUACUUACAUAUUCGUCUCUAAACACGCUUGUUAUGUCUUCAUGAUGCCACAAUCGACUACGUUUUCCAGGUUCCGUAGCACAUUCUACCCGCACAAUUUCUCUUCCCAUGUCUUGAAUCAAAUCAUGCAUCUUGAAGAAUGAUGAAUCAAAAUCUAGAAGACAUUGAUCUUGAAGAGUUCGGAUUUCUGAUUCUACACAAAAGCGACUACAAUUAUCCAAUAUUGCCACGACUUCAAUUCCAAAUGAGUUAAUAAAGAUAUGAGAUAUGUCAAGGAACACAAGCUUAAUCUAAGUGUUUCAUGAAUUUUUCCAUGUGUAAUGUUUCUCAAUUUAUCCAAUGUCAUUUUCCAUAUGCUUUUACUCUUUUUCAUAGCCAACAAAUGGCCUACGACUUUAAAAGCUAGCGGCAAUCCUCCACAAUAAUCGACAACAUCUGUUGCGAGUUCAAUAUAUUCUUUAUCAGGACAAUGAUUUCCAAACGCAUGCCAACUAAGGAGUUCAAGAGCUUCUUCAUCUGUCAUCGUUUGUGCCUUAUAAAUUUUAUCCACCUUCUGUAUAUUCAACACUUGUUCAUCUCUUGUUCAUCGUUUGUGUCAUCAACUACGAUUAGUACCUUCAUGCUUCCAAGUCUUUUCUCUAUCUCCUUGGUCCUUUCGGCAACACUACUUAUUUUAAUGUCAGGUCGUUUCAAAAUAUCUAGAAGAAAUUGUUCUUGAAGACUAAUCAUAUUUUUCUUUUUACUCCUCACCUCUUCAAGGUAACAUUGACCACGGAAACUAUGAUGGUAUGUGACAUAUGCUGCCCAUACACUGAAUUCCAAUUAUUUGAACGUCCUGUGAACCUCCAACAUCUAAGUAUUUAGUACCGAAUUCUUCCACGCUAAAAGUUAUUCCAACUGAGUGCUUGGCUUCUUUUGAGUUACUGGUUUUUAGUAGUCCGAUGAUGUCCCCAACAACUUUCUGGAUAAAUACUCCUUCACGCCUGCCAAUUGGAAAUCCAAAUUAUGCAAACAGAUGAUUAAUCAUGCAACAACAUGAUUCAUAUGAACUAAAUGCCUUAUGGAUCACGACUUGGCUGAUUAGUGAGUGUCCCAAAAUCUAAUUGUACAAGAUGUUGCAAGCGAUUAAAUUUUGUAAAAGAGGAAAUUUAACAUGAUACCUGUCCGCAGUGGUUUUAAGAUCAUUGCCAACCAAAUCUGUAGAAGCCUUAAGAUCUUUGCUCCACUGCUCGACCUCAUUUGGGUCUUCAUCCCUUUCAUGCUUCUGAAAUGCCUCCCCUCUUGAUCUUCUCGGCACCUCAUGAUCAUCGACAGCUCCCUCAGGCACCAUCGGGACUCCGCGUAACUCUUUGAGAAGACGACAACCGCAAUCUUCGACCCUUCAAUUUCUCAAUCAAGUUUUCUCUGUAUAUUCUCCCCCUUUUUGAGCUCGUAGUCUAUAAACAUGUUGAUUCCAGCACUGCUUAACGCAAUGGAUAGGUGGUUUGUGAACCCAGUGCGUGUGUCCUCGCCUCUAAAGCUCAGGAACACCUUGUACUUCCAGCGGUUUGAACGCCGAGAGGAAGACGAACCGCCGGCGGCUGCGGCGGCGGUUGCAAGGGCGGGGCUGCUGGUAUUCAUUGAUUUCAAGUAAAGAAGUGAAACUCCUGAUCGUUUCAGUCUAAAGAAAACAAGUCUUCCUAUGAUCCUAUCAUUUUCCUUUAUACAUCCAGAUAUCCUAAAAUUCCUCGCGUGGGCGGCAUUUUCUAUCCCUAUAUACGUGCAAAUUGUUAGACCGAGUCAAUCUUAUCCCAAACUAAGCUCUGCAACAAACUCUUCAUAGGAUAAGAUUGCUAAGUUCAGUUUCAGUUUUGAAUAAUUCAAAGAUAAACUGUUGUGAUUUUGUAUUUUUGAAUUCAAAGUUAUCAGUGUAAAUAGGGUAUUCAAAACCCUAUGGCUCCAUUAUGUGUCCUCCUAAGACUUUGGCUGGCACCACUGACGUUAACCCAGCCUACAUGACUUGGAUUCAACAUGAUCAGAUGAUUCUCAGUUGGAUCAACAACUCUCUCACUGCUUCUGUUUUGUCGACAGUAGCAAGCAAACGCAUGUGCCGUGCAAUCUGGGAAGCAUUGGAACAGCGGUAUGCGUCAACUUCCCAGAAUCGUAUAUUGUUUCUGCGUAUAGAACUGCUGCAGACGAAGAAAGGUGACCUCUCUGUAGCUGACUACUUGGAUCGUAUGAAUGCGAUCGCCGACAACCUUGCUCUGGCCGGACAACCAGUAAGCGAUGAUGAACUGGUUCAAAUUAUUUUAAAUAAUCUUGGUCCUGCAUUCGAGAUGACUGUGAAUGCAGCACAAGCUCGUGAUACUCCAAUCACUUAUCCAACACUUGAAGCUCUUCUGCUAACAACGGAGAAACGGAUGACGGAGCAAGCUGUGUUGAUUGAAACUGCUCCGAUCAAUGCUUUUGUAGCGUCACGAGGCCGUGGUGGUCGCUCUCGUGGCAAUGGACGUGGAGGCUCUCCGUUCAAUCGUGGUGGUGCCAUCAACAAUGGCAAUCAACGAGUUGGUAUUCCUCGCAAUAACAACAAUCAACGUGGUGGUGCGUCUGCAAGUACUGGUGACCGGUGCAACCUUUCUGGAGAACGCAUCAAAUGCCAAAUUUGUGGCAAACCUGGUCAUCCGGCUCUGGACUGUUACCAGCGGAUGAAUACAGCUUAUGAAAGACGCAUCCUCACCAAUCGUCUUGCUGCCAUGGCGUCUUCUCAAGUGAUGCCUAAUAAUGGAAAUUGGCUUCUUGACACGGGUGCCAAUGCUCAUGUCACCCCAGACCUUCAGAAUCUUGCAAAUCCAAAAGAAUACACUGGUAAUGACAACAUUGGUGGAGUAGGUAAUGGUUCUCAACUUUCCAUUGCACAUUCUGGUUCGAAUCAAAUUUCAACUAAGUCUUACUCAUUUAACCUCCAUGACAUUUUACAUUGUCUAUCCGCAUCCACUAAUAUCAUUUCGGCACACAGAUUCACCCUAGAUAACCAUUGCUACAUACUAAUAUUUCCUUAUUUCUUCCUUGUUAAGGACCUCAAAACCCGGAAGACGCUUUUCCGCGGGAGAUGUGAGAAUGGAUUAUAUCCAUUUCCUGGUGGCGGUGGAUUGUCCAACUAUCCUAUUUCAGUGUGUGUCGGUGUUAGAGUCUCACCUCAUAAAUGGCAUUUACGUCUUGGUCAUCCUGCUUCGUCAAUUAUUAAAUUUUUGAUUGCAAAUAACCAAGUACCAUCAUCUGGUACAAGUACUGUAACGUUUUGUGACUCUUGUCCAUUAGGCAAAAGCACUAAACUUCCCUUUAGCAAGUCUGUGUCCGUGUCUUAUUGUCCAUUAGAACUUUUGCAUUCUGAUGUUUGGAGUUCACCUAUUAUUUCUAAUGAAGGUUUUCGUUAUUACUUGUUGUUUGUGGAUGACUACUCACGAUAUUCGUGGAUCUUUCACAUGAAAAAUAAAUCUGAAGUGUUUGGAAUUUUUGUGACAUUUAAAACACAUGUUGAAAAAAUGUUUAACAAAUCUAUUAAAGCUCUUCAAUGUGAUGAAGGUGGUGAAUACAUGAGUCGCGAUUUCAAAACUUUUCUUGCUACACAUGGGAUUUCCCAACGUUUUUUCGUGUCCAAACAUCCUGAACAAAAUGGAAUUGCCGAACGAAAGCAUCGUCAUAUAGUUGAAACAAGUGUUACAAUGCUUCUCAUGCUCAUAUGCCUCAAAAAUUUUGGUUCGAUGCAUGUUCCACAGAUGUUUAUAUUAUAAACAGGCUUCCAACAAAGGUUUUAUCUAACGUGUCUCCCUAUGAAAAAUUGUUUCAAAAGAAUCCAAAAUAUAAGGCAUUUAAAGUGUUUGGUUCAAAAUGUUUUCCACUGUUGACUCCUUAUACACGGCAUAAACUUCAACCAAAGUCCAAACCAUGUGUUUUCUUAGGAUAUUCACUGAAUCAUGAAGGAUACAAGUGCUUGGACUUAUCCACGAGAUGCAUUUACGUGUCUCGCCAUGUUUUAUUUGAUGAGGAUUCCUUUCCUUUCAAGGAACUUGCAUCUCCCAAGGACGACGUCACUAUCACAGGUACACCUUUGACCCCUGACUUGAUUUUAACCACAACACCCUCAUCAACCUUGGUACCUUCCAUAUCUUCACCAAAUUUUGUCGAAUCUCACCCUAGCCUCAACCACCAGCCUGAGUCAAACUUGGUGUCUAGUGAUCAGCCGCAUAUCACGCCAACUUUUACUCCCCAGCAAACUGUUUCAAAUUUGGACCUUACUCCUCCUCCACCUAUCACUACCAUCCCUUGUUUAAAUAGGACACCUCAACCUAGUUCAACAUUAGGUCCCACCAAUGAGCAAGACUUGGUUCACAUUCCAUCCGUGCAAAGUUCUCAGAAUCCUUCUCAUUCAUCAAUUUUAUCUACCACAUCAUCUUCCAUACGAGAGACUACUCUCCCCCACUCAAUAACAACAAGGUCAAAAUCUGGGAUUCAAAAGCCAAAUCCAAAAUACGCUUUGCAUGCAAUCGCUGACUCCAAGUUUGUUGAGCCGUCUUAUUUUAGUCAAGUUAUUAAAUAUCCAGAAUGGAGGGCAGCAAUGGCACAAGAGUUCAGUGCUUUGCAAAUGUGUGGAACAUGGACGCUUGUUCCUUAUUGUCCUGGAAUGAACCUGCUGCCAAACAAAUGGGUGUUUAAAAUCAAGAGACGUACAGAUGGUUCUCUCGAACGUCACAAGGCUCGACUUGUGGCUAAUAGUUACCAUCAGCAAUCCGGAGUGGAUUAUAAUGAAACAUUUAGUCCAGUCGUGAAACACAGCACCAUUCGGCUUGUUUUAAGUCUUGCAGUGUCGAAGAAGUGGACGGUGCGACAGUUAGAUGUACAGAAUGCAUUCUUGCAUGGCUAUUUGGAUGAGGAUGUGUACAUGAAACAGCCGCCAGGUUUUCUUGAUCAGCAGUAUCCUAAUUAUGUGUGUAAAUUGCAGAUAAGUUUGUAUGGAUUAAAACAGGCUCCCAGAGCCUGGUUUCGAAGAUUCUCGGAUUAUCUGCUUCAACUUGGGUUUGAAGAAUCAUUAUGUGAUUAUUCAUUGUUCGUGUUUAAUCAACGAGGCGUUUACUUGAUCUUACUUAUCUAUGUGGAUGACAUUCUUCUUACAAGCAAUAAUGAUAAACAAAUGCAAUGGUUGAUAGAGAAGCUCGACACUUUGUUUUCUAUGAAGGACUUAGGUCCUUUAAGUUAUUUUUUGGGUGUCGAGGUUACUUAUUCUGGGGAGAAUAUGCAUCUUACACAGUCCAAGUAUGCGUUGGAUCUGUUGGAGCGCACCAAGUUUACUGCUGUCAAACCAGUAUCCACUCUUGUACCUACGGGACAAAAGCUCAGUCAGUAUACUAGUGAACCUUAUUCUAAUCCCGAAUAAUAUCGAACGAUUGUUGGAGCGUUACAAUACUUGACGAUCACCAGACCCGAUCUUUCUUAUGCUGUGAACCAGGUUUGCCAGUUCAUGCAUAUGCCUCGGACUACACAUUGGAUGGCGGUUAAGAGGAUUUUGCGGUAUUUAAAGGCCACACAUGAUCACGGUCUUGUCUACAAACCUGGUGAUAUUCGGUUAAAUGCUUUCUCUGAUGCUGAUUAUGCGGGAAAUCCGGACACACGUCAUUCAACUGGUGGCUUCUGUAUCUAUUUGGGCACGAAUUUGAUUUCCUGGAGUUCAAAGAAACAGAAGACUGUCUCAAGAUCUAGCACAUAGGCUGAGUAUAGGCAGCUUGCUUAUACUGCCGCUGAGUUGUCAUGGUUAGGAAGUUUGUUUCGAGAUCUCCAUCUCUAUCUUCCAUGGCCGCAGAUAUGGUGUGAUAAUGUUUCGUCCAUUGCUUUGGCUUCCAAUCCAGUUUUCCAUGCACGGACGAAACACUUGGAAGUGGACUACCAUUAUGUACGCGAAAAUGUGGUCCGUGGACAGCUUUUGGUUCAUUUUAUUUGCUCCCAAGACCAGAUUGCCGAUUUGUUCACCAAGGGUCUUUCCUCUUCACGCUUCAACUUGUUAGUUUCCAAGCUUCCCGUCGUUGCUCGACCUGUCAGCUUGCGGGGGGAUGUUAGACCGAGUCAAUCUUAUCCCAAACUAAGCUCUGCAACAAACUCUUCAUAGGAUAAGAUUGCUAGGUCCGGUUUCAGUUUUGAAUAAUUCAAAGAUAAGCUGUUGUGAUUUUGUAUUUUUGAAUUCAAAGUUAUCCGUGUAAAUAGGGUAUUCAAAACCCUACUUGUAAUCUGAAAGUAUUGUAUAAAUACACUGCGACCCAUCGUUAUAUGGGUGUGCAAUCAAAAGCUGAAAACCCUAGUGCUCUAAGUUUUACACAAAUAUCCCCUCGAUUCCCAAAUGUAGGCGGCAGUUUCUAUCCCUACAUACGUGCAGAAAUCCCCAAGAUUCUCCAAUGCAGGCGACAUUUUCUAUCCCUAUACGUACAGAUAUCUCCAAAAUUCCUCAAUGUAGCGGCAUUUUUAAAGUUUUUGCAUUGGUCAAUGAUGUCAAUAACGCGUGAGUGCUAUUCUUCCCACAGUUUAAUUUGUCAAAGCCAUACAAAAUAUAAAAUAAAAACCCUGAUGAGAAAUUUUUCGUUGUAACCGGAACACGGGAGGUAUACUACGUGUUUUUAUAUAAGUUGAGGAAAAUUUUAUUUUUUAAGUUAUUAACUUUUUAACACAUAUAUCCCACCAUUUAUAUAGUAACACGUGAUGUACCACCUCGUGUACCGGUUUCUCCUCUCUUUCCCGUCCCUCCCAUCUCUCUUUCGUAUUCUCAAUCUCUAUCUUCUGAUGGAGGUAAUCACAUACAAACUCAUUAUAUUUUACUUGAGUAAAUAUGAAUUAAUUUUUUUAAUUUGGUACGUAAAUUUAGGUUUUCGAGUAGAAUAAUGUUAAGGAGAUCAAAAUUUCAAAUUAAAUUAUCUAUCAUCAAUAUAUAAUAAGCACGUUAAUCAACAUUUAAGUAAUAAUUCAAUCAUCAACAACCACAUUAUUUGGUUCACAAAAUUAUAUUUAAAAUUUUGGUCUUCCUAACAUUAUCCUUUCGAGUGAACAUCAAUUCAAUGAGUAUUUUUCUUCUUUACUAUUCUUAUAUAGUUUGGGCCGCUAAAAUAUUACAUUAUUGUGAUUAACUAGCGAAAAAUACAAGUUAAAAAUGAAUGUGCAACACAUUGAAACACAGGAGCUCAAGGGCCUAUUUCCAAUGACAUGCUCAGGCCACCGAAUUUUAUGGGCUGGCCCUGGUUCAAUCGUUGUUGGUCGACGUCAUAAUGGCAUUAUAAGAAUCUGCGGUACAAAAUAGGUUCCAACUGUCGAUGUCAGUUUAGAGAGUUUCACCAUUCUCAUCUCAUCUUAACUUUUCAAAAUCUUUUUUGAAAUGUCAUUAAUUUUCCAAAAUUCUUAAUUUGUCAUCUCAUCUUAUCUUCGUUCAGUUUUUCACCCAAAUAAGUUGGAUUCAAGGUUAUUUUUACUUCGCAAAAUCCUUAUUAGUCAUCUCAUCUUAAAGAGUGCAAAUAAAUGGAUGAUGCAAAUCUUAAAAAUCUUAGGGCUCUAUCUUUCUAACUAUUUUAGUUCUAGAUGUGGUUUCUUGGAGCUCCAUGAUUGCGUGUUACACUCAUAAUGGGGAUGUAAUAGAAGCGUUAAAUCUUUUAAACGAAAUGAUUGACACAAGAUUCGAACCUAAUUCAAUGACUCUGGUAACUGCAUUCCAAGCAUAUGCACUGGCAGGUAAUUUAGAAAAAGGUAAGAGGAUCUACGAAAUUGCUACUAGGAAGUGUUUCGAGUUAGAUAUCACGGUAGCUACAGCCCUGAUUGAUAUGUACAUGAAGUGCUCUGCACCCGAAAAAGCAGGUGAUCUCUUCAAUAGAAUGGCAGAGAAAGAUGUGGUUUCGUGGGCUGCCUUGUUGAGCGGGUAUGCUCAUAACGGAAUGGCAUACAAGUCAAUUAGGGUCUUUCGCGACAUGCUAUCAGACACAACUCAGCCUGAUGCCGUUGCUAUGGUCAAGCUUCUUGCAGCUUGUUCGGAAUUAGGGAUUCUUCAACAAGCUCUCUGCCUCCAUGCUUAUGUGAUUAAACGCGCCUUCAAGAAUAACAUCUUUGUUGGAGCUUCACUCAUAGAGUAAUAUUCGAAGGGUGGAAGCAUAGACAAUGCUGUCCAAUUAUUUGAAGGCAUAACAGACAAAGAUGUCGUUAUCUGGAGCGCGAUGAUUGCAGGUUAUGGAGUUGAUGGACAAGGAGAAGAAGCUUUAAAAGUAUUUGAUCGGAUGGUUAAGCACUCAGAUGUCAAGCCUAAUGAUGUAACAUUUCUCUCGAUUUUAUCUGCGUGUAGCCAUUUGGGUUUGGUUAGAGAAGGCAUCGAGAUCUUCAACACGAUGUUGCACGAAUACCAACUUAAGCCCGGACCUGAGCACUACGGGAAUUGUUGAUCUUCUAGGCCGGACAGGAGAGCUGGACAAUGGAAUGGAAAUCGUUGAGAGAAUGCCAAAUCCAGCUGCAGCGCAUGUUUGGGGAGCCUUGCUUGGUGCGUUCUGGAUACAUAAGAGGUUGCAGCAGAGAGUCAUUUUCGGUUGGAUCCUAAUUAUGCAGGGUAUUACAUCCUGCUCUCGAAUGUAUAUGCCAUGGAUAACAAAUGGGAAAAUGUGACAAAUCUUAGAACUUUGAUAAAGGGGAAGGCGUUAAUGAAGAUGUCCGGGCAGAGCGUUUUCGAGGUGGAGAGUGACAUCCGUAGUUUUGUUGCCGGAGAUGGAUUGCACCUUGAUUCUGAUCAGAUUUAUGUAGUGCUAGGAAAAUUAGAUACGAAAAUGAGAGCGGAAGGUUAUGUUCCCAAUGUCGAUCUUCUGCUAACAUGACAUGGCGGUUGGUAUCUAGAUUUGAAGUGUUGUGAAAUUUCUUGUAGGGAAAGUUUCGACCCACAUGAAAGGCGUAAUGAUAUGGACGCAAUCACGGAAAAUAAUAUAAUCCGGUUAUAUUUUAAAUAAGCAAAUAUAUUUUAGAAAUGUUAUCAAUAACAUAACCCACUGCAAAACCAAACUGUAGCACACAAUUCAUCACUGCUGUGACAACUAAGACAUUCCAAAUCACACAAGUUUACAUACAUUAGAAUAAAAUCCACAGUUAAUCACUGUUAAAUAUCAUUACAAAUAAGUUAAUUUUAGUUGGAUGCAGCCAUCCAACAACCAUGAUCCUUCAGCGCCCAAUGUCGGAUUUUCAAAAGCGACGAAACUCCAGACAGUCUCCUUUUUGGCCAUGCUGCUGCUGCUACUACUACUGUUACCACUUGGAAGUUGGAUGCUCAGAGUUUAUUUUCCCGUGAAUGGUGCGACUCUUGCCGGAGCAUUCUCGAGGCCAGUCACCACAUAAACUUCAAUCUGAAAUCACAAUCGUCACAAAUUUGAAGUUUAACUCCACUACCAUUCUCUCAACACCAAUUCGAUAUAAAUUAAACAAGAAUUGCCCCAAUCGAAAAUUGCAAUGCCGUACCCACCCAAAAGAAAAAAAAAAAAAAAAAACAACUCAAAAGAUCGUAGGAAUCGACGAAAUUAAAAAAAUAUAUACAUUCAAAUUCCUAUUACAAUAUGAAAAAGAUGGCAAAAACACACGUCAGGGUUAAAGGGAUCAAUGCAAGAAAACCAACCUUUUCUAGAGAUCGCGUUGGGAUUUGGUAGAGCCGUCCUCAAUUGGGCUUACGGAGGAAGAGCCUAAGACCUUGAAAAGAAGGAGUAGCAUGUCGAUCCAGCCGUGGAUUAGCACGUGACCGGAAACGUGGAUCCAGCCGUGGAGCAAGUCGAUGUGGAGCGGAGUGCGGUUGUCGUAGUCGGCGUGGAGGCCUGACUCAAAACCGUGGGCAUUGUCUGGAGAAAGACAUUGCCUUCGUGCUCAGGGUCUUGGAUGAGAGGAUUGGGAGGAGGAUUCUCUAUCCUCUUAACUCUUAUGCAAAAACAGCCACGUAAGCAUAUAAUAGUAAAAAAUGACAGUAAAUUCUUUUCAACCGAGCUUUCAAUUUCCUACGUGACGCUGAGUCAAUUGAAAACAAAGUAUUUUGCUGUCAAAUUUGACUGCAGAUGUCAAAUUUAUUAAAUAGUUUUUCAAUAGAUUAAUAUAAUAUAUAAUAAAUGUUAUUGUGUUUUUCAAGUUUUUGAUUGGUUGUCUCAAUCACUAAACCCCACAAAAGAUUAAAAACUUUAAUAAAUAACAUUAUUAUUUGACAUAUCGGGGUGAAGCAAAAUAUUUCAUAAAAUGUCAAAUUGCCAUGUAAGCUACUAAAUAUCAUUUUGAUGUUUAAAAUUUGACACCUUAUUUGGAGAUGCUUUUAAUCUCUCUACCCUUACAUGCUCUCUUAUUUGAAUGAUUACGGUUAAAUCACGUCAACAUUUUAUAUUAAUUUUUUUAUAGAGAUAAUAAGAUAAAAAGGGAUGGAAUGGAGUGAGAAUAUGAUGGUAGAGAAUCAUCUUUUGAUUGGGAGAAAAAUUUUCUACCGUUCUAAUCUCUCUACCCUCUUGAUGCCUUGAAUUCAUUGGAUUGAAGUGCAAGACUUUAAGGCCCUGUGUUGGCAUAUCGGAUAAGGUACCGGAUAGUACUAUUAAUACGGAGUACGGUGUUUGGUGUCCGUUUGAAUUAAAUAACCACCAGAUUAAAUAAUCCGACCCCACCUCCUUUAUCCGGCUGAUACCCGCUUAGUUAUACCGCCCAAAACCUCGGUAUCAUUUAGUCAGGUAGAAACACGCCUCUCUCACUCUCUCCAUCCCGCAUUGCUUGCCCUCUAAUAUGAAUCUCAGGUUCUUCUCCUCCUCCUCCUCCUCCUUUGUUCCGCCCUCCUGCAACUUCUCCUCCUCCUCCUUCUCUAAUCACCGCGAACGGCGUAAGAGGACAAUCGCGAUGGACUGACGAAACUCGAAUGGGAGAAGCAUAGUGCUUCAAAUUACAGAGAGUUCCUCUCGCCGCUCGCUCUACUCCUCUCACAUCGCAUGCUUUCUCCUCUGAAUCCAAGGUUCUUCCUCCACUUCUGAAUCUGAGAUUCUUCUUCCUCCUCCCUGUUCCGCCCUCCUCCUAUUUUUCUUGCAAUUUUUCUUCUUCUCUCUGUUCUGCCCUCUUAUUUUUCUUCCAACUUUUUUUUUCCAAUCAAAUUGAAUCAGAUUGUUGUUUUUCUCUCAAAUUUUUGCAAUUGAUUUUAUAAAUUUUCAAUUGCCAAAGAACCCAUCUACCUCCUUUGGGUCAUAUCCUUCAUAACCAUUCUACUUUUGCUAGGCUGAUUUGUAGCUAAAAAAAAGAGAGGAUUGGGAAAACUAAAAAAAAAAAGAGGAUUGGGAAAAAAAAACGAUGAGAAUUUGAAAGGAGGGUUUUGCUAGGUUUCUUGUUGCUGCCUUUGUGGUGGGGUUUAGUUCAGGGUAGCAGACGGGGAAGAAGAAGAAGGGAUAGAGAGGGAGGGAGUUUGGAGGGGUGCGGCGGAGAGAUCUGGGAACAAAAGAGAUGAUUUCAGUUUUUUUUUUUUUUUAUAAUUUUGUUUUAAGUUUGAUACUUCAUAUCUGGAAUAAUACCAAACAUAGUAUAAAUAAUAUGAUCAUUAGUCUGAUACUGUACCAAACGACCGAUUAAUUUAGUCAGUACUAUCCGGUGACUAUUUAUCAUAUUCGACAAAAAUAGUCAGUACAAUCCGAGCUGUCAAACGAGGCCUAAGAAUAUAAGAGUUUGAUCAGCUAUUCAGAUUUAAUCCAAUAACUUAUAUUGAUCUGCACGGAAGGCCCACAAAAUGCAAUCCGCACUUUAGAAAUGACGUUUAGCCUACCGUAUUUGGGCUUUCUCUUAUGUAACUAUGUUUAUGUGAAAACAAAGUAACCUUUUUAACCAAAAGAAAAGAAACAAAAAAGAAACAAAAAGAAAAAGUGCUGACUAGGCCAUGGGGAAGUAUUCAAUGCCAGAAGAAAGUGGGGAAUGGGAAAGCACAAGCAUUCAUUGCCAAGCUGUAGCCGGACAAUGUCAGAAUAAAUAAAUCAAUAAAUAACUAGUUUCCACUAAAGUGGACGUGGAAAGGCAUCUUGAUUUUUCAAAAAUUAACAAAAAAAAAAUAGCACUGAACACUUGCCCACGUGACAAGGUAUUCCAACCGAGUGGUUGACUGGUUUGUAGUCUCUGGAUUGUGUUAGUCCGAUUAUGCCCCCAAAUUGAAAGUUCAAAAUUUUUCUUAUCUAUUUAAGUGACCCGCUUCCCGAACUCGAAUCAUCUCUUGACAACUGGCCCUUAAAUAUGUAUCCUACUAUUAUAAUUAAUUUUAAUCUUUUUAAUGGAUUUCUCUUCUCUCUCCUUCCGUCUUUUCUUUCCCUUUCACUCCAUCUUCACUCCAUUAGUGGCUGCUCUCUCACAGAUGAAAAAUUGAAGCAAUAGAAGUAUCUGAAUGAUUAUACCAAGGCAACAUUUGUCCCGGAGAGCGAGAUGGGUGGAAGGCAGAAAAUUAAAGGAGAACUAAUAAAAAUGACUUGAAAGCUUUAAGUUUUAAUGAUAGGAACAAAAUAAAAGGGAAAGUAAAUAGUACUAUGAUUGACUUUUUAGUAUAAAAAUGUGGUUUUUCGUUAAAAUAAACCGUACCGGAAAUUUUUCGUUAAAGUUUUCAAAAAUUAAUUCCAAUUUUUUGCUCAAAACCAAGCCAUUAUGUUGUUGGUCUCAACCAUAAAUCAAAUAACUCAACAAAUUAGACGUCCCAAGACCCAAUCUUUAUCCCUGACCUUCAUCCCAAAACCUUGACUUCUUUAAUAAUUUAAAAAAUGAAAUUUCCCACCACAUCUAUUAAAACACGCGAUGUACAACUUGUGUUUCCGUCGCAAUUAAAAAUUUCUCAUGAUGGUGGAGUGCUUGUGUCGAUUAUAACCGACAACAAUGUUCUGUCAUCCGCCACUAUUUAAACACUGCAAAUAUUUUAUCCGACAUUAAUCAUUUAAAACCGCCACAACCUUCUGACACAUUAAAGCCAAUUUUGUAGUAGUGUUAGGCCAUCUCCAACCGAUGGCUGGCCAGAGGGCUCGUUUGAGCCCUAUGACCCUCCAAGAUUCUCCAAGAUAUUAAUAUUUUAAUGAACAAUACAUGGCCAUAUUUGCCUUCGUCUCCAACCGAGGGCCAAAGGGCCAGAUGACUCGUUUUAGCCCUCUCGCAAAAAACCAUCUACAACCGAGGGCCAAACAUAAUUUAUUAUUUAAAAACUACAACUUAAAUUCAAGUUAACUAUUUAAAAAUAGAAGUUAUAGGAAAAAAAAAAGAAUUAAAACAAAAUAUGAAACAAAUUUUGUGAAAUAGAAGUUAUAAGAAAAAAAAUAGAAUUAAAAAAAAUAUGAAAAAUAGAAGUUAUAAGAAAAAUUUGUAAAUAAAAAAUAAUAAUAAAACUGUGUAAAAAAAAAUCAAAUGCAAGCUAGCCGUUGUAUUCAAAUUUUUUGAAAUAAAUUUGUGUCGGUUAUAACCGACACAAAUAGUAGUACAAAUUACUAUUAGUGUCGGUUAUAAACGACACUAAUUGUAAACAAUAAAGCAUAGCGGGACCAAUUAUGUCGGUUAUAACCGAAUAAUUACAAAAGACUAAAUAAUUACUGUCGGUUAUAACCGACAGUAAUUCCGACGCAUUUAAAAAAAAGAGUCAGCCAGCCAGCCCUUUGGCCCUUUAGGAUUCUGUGGGACCCUCUCAGAUUCCAAAGCCCUCUGGCCUGGCCCUCGGUUGGAGACGGUUUUAGGACUAUUUUCGGUCCUCUGGCCCUCUGGACCCUUCAGUUGGAGAUGACCUUAGGCUCUUAUUUUGGAGUAUGUAAUACUUGAAAGACAAAUGUUUUUUUAAGGUUUUGAAAUAAUAUUUAUGUGACAAUGUGGUAUACAUAUACUAAUUUAGUAUUAUGUUUUCUAUUUUUUUUGGUCAAAUUAUGCUUUUCAUCUUCAUUAUUUAGGGAUUUAAAAUAUAUUUUCUUUAACGGAUAAUGGAUCGAGUCAUAUUAAAUGAUAAUAUUAACGGAUCAAUUUCGGGUCGGAUCAUAUUAUCGGUUUACUUUAACGGAUGUUACAUGACACGAUUCAUUAAGAUAUUAGGUAUAUCAUAAAAUCGAUACGAACGCAAAAAAUACGACACGAAUAUCAAAUCUAGCUUUUAGCAUACUCUCCCCGUACCUUUCUCAUGUUUUUACACCCAAAAAGUAAAUGAUUAAAGAGAAUAAUUUUUACAUGCCUUCUCUUUUUACUUCUUUUGUUUCUUUUUUCAAAAAAACACAAAAAAGGUCGAAUUAUGCCAAAACUGGUAGGACACUGCCCGACCAUAUGGCUUUUGAGCGCAUUAGAGCAACUCCACCCAUGUGGAUUGCUCGGGGGAUAGGGGAGAAGAAAGGGCCUGAGGCCCGGUCGACAGUGCUCCAGCCAUGGAGAGCCCGAGUGAAGGUGGGAGCCCGAGCACAAGGCCCGUCAGGAAUCCACCAGCCUGCAGCCCGAGGGCCAGACAUUAUUUAAUUUUUUUUGUGUCAGCCCGAGGGCCUGCAGCCCCAUUUCCAAUGUUUUUAUUUUAUUUUAUAUUAUUUAAACAAACAAAAAAAACUAAUAUUUUAUUACAUAUUGCCAGGGGGAGGGCUCCAAGGGUGGAGAUGCAAAAGGUAAUUACUGUUCAUUAAUGGUAGUUACUAUUCAUUAAAGGCAGUUACUGUUCAAUAUGGUGGAUUCAAUAGUGAAUUGCCAGGGGGAAGGGCUCAAAGGGUGGAGUUGCUCUUAUGUUAGAUGACUUUGGAAUGGCUAACUGGAUUGGCUGCUGACUUUCUUGAUUGCUCCAUAGUAGUUUGGUUUAGAUUUUUGUUUAAAAAUACCAAAAUUAAAGUUUAAUGGUUAAAAUAUCAUGAGUACUGGAUACUUCGGACGAAUCUGACCACCAAAGAAUUUUUGGUUUGGCUGUUUUAUUAUUCUCUCUCAACAUUUUAUAACAAAAAAAAAAUUGGUUUGGCUGUUUUGUUGUUCUCACUCAACAUUUUACAACAAAAUGAGGGGAACACCCUCCCUCCUCCACUGAUUUUUUUUUUUUUUUGAGAAAUGGAGAAUAUCAUUAACGAGGGCCAAAGCCAAAAGGAGGAACAGAAAGCCACACAGGCUAACAACAUCUGAAAAGAGCAACACAUAAAGGGUAAGAACACGACACGGAGCCAACAUAUGUCACCCUUACAACUACAAACUAAACUACAAAUUGGACGGAGGGCAAGGAAGACCAUCUUUGUUCAAGAUACGAACAAACGAAGAUGGGGGUCUACGGACCUAAACGAAAUCGCACAUCUCUGUCCCAAUAAUCCACCGCUUCGUUAGCUGAUCUUGGCACCUAAGGACAAUCACAUGAAUAAAAAGUUUCACCUUUGUACCGUAUCUUACAAAGAACAUGGAAUAGCUCCCACGCCAUUUGCUCAAUACACCAGUUCAACCAAUCAAUGAUCCCUUUUGAGUCCGACUCAAUCACAAUACGGGAGAAUCCCCGCUGCCUUGCCAUGCAACAACCCUGCAGCACUCCCUAUGCUUCUGCCAUUUGGGCAUUCAUAGCUCUGAUACGCCUCCUUCUAACUGCCAAGCACCAAGAUUCAGAAUCACGAAUCACCACCCCAAUAUGGCAGAAGCCAACCAUCAGCUUCCCGCUAGCAUCCACAUUUACCUUCGUGAUCCCAGGAGGAUGAGGAGGUUCCCAACCACUAACGAUAACCCUCUUAGAGCCUCGUUGUACUCGAUCAUCAGAAUGCGCCUCACAGUAACCAGUGUGAGCAGACUCGAUAGCUUUAACAGUACUGGUUGGGGAUGAGAAGUGAGACCUUGCAUCUAACCUUCCAUAUUUCUCAGCAUGCGAAGGUUAUGUACGACAUAGUUUCCCUUCUAACCUCCCCACCCUAGGUAGAUUUUGCCAAAUUGAAACCACCCAUGAAUGGAAGGAGGUUACCCUACUUUUAUCCACCCUUAAUCCCAAUGGGCCACCAAACCACACCUGAUCCACCCACAGACAUAAAAUAAAUGCAUGCUCGAUCAUCUCCUCAUGUUCACCACAAAAAGGGACAAGGGUGAAGACACACAUCGUCGUCUAAAUAAAUCUCGUUUAGUAGUUGUCGCCCCCCUUAGUGUAUGCCACAUAAAGUCCUUUAUUUUGUGAGAGAUCCAUAAGUUCCAUAUGCACUUCCACACCCAAAAGUCGACCGACGAUGAUGUAGAAGAUGUUAGUUGCUGACUUGACAAUUCACUGUGUGGAUCCAAUGGUAUCCAGAUUUGACGGUAUAAUGUCCCAUUCUGUCUGUUAGCCAAACUAGCAUAUCCUUGCAGUUAGCCCCGCCUAUUGGCGUAUCAAGGAUGGCAUGAUGAUCUUCAGCCGAGACCUUCCUAUCUAUAAUAGCCUGAUGCCAAGACCUAGUAGACUGAUCAAUCAAAUUCGAGACUCUUAGGUCAGGGUUCAUCAAAACCCCCUGAGCAGGGGUAAGGUGCCCCGACUGCAAAGUUGGGAUCCACCAAUUGGCCCACACCCGUGUGUUCUCACUAUUCAAAAUCUGCCAAUGCACACCCUGAGAGAUAAUGUCCCUUCUCAUCAACAGGCUAGCCCAAGGCCAGGAAGAUCGACCCCAUUUUUAAGCCUAAAAAAUAGGAGCAAUCCGUGAAGUAGCUCUGCUUGAUAACCAGGGCCCAAAGAGAGUCUAGGGAAUGGAUCAGACGCCAACAUUGCUUGGCCAAAAACACCAUGUUAAACUUCUUAAGGUUACAGAAGCCCAUGCCGCCCUCAUGCUUCGACAGACCCAAGUUUUCACAACUCACCCAAUGUAUCUUUUGUUCCCCCUCUCUUUGACCCCACCAUAAUUUGGCCAUUGCCACAUCAAUAUCAUUACAAAUAUUGUCCGGGAAACAGAAUAUGUUCAUUGGGUAAGCAGGAAUUGCCUGAGUCACUACUUUUAUCAAAACUUCCAUACCGGCUUGGAUAAGAAACCCUGCUUCCACCCUUGAAUCUUUGCUAAAACCUUGUCUUUUACAAAAGCUAGUGCCUCCCGCUUCGUUCUUCCACACACUGUUGGGAUUCCCAAAUAGUUUCCUGGAUCCUGAACCUGCAGCAUACCCAGGAUGCUCACCAAUUCGUUCGGGAGUUCUCCCGGGGUGUUGGCACCAAAGAAAACAGAUGAUUUUUGCAUGCUAACUUCUUGACCUGAGGUAGUGCAAUAGGGCUUUAAGAGGUGGGUUAUGUUCUGACAGUUGGGCCGUGUUGCACGGAGGAAUAUAAGCGUAUCUUUUGCAAACAAUAGAUGGGAUAGACACGACCCGUUCAUACUUAACUGAAUACCUUCAAUAAAACCACCAUCCACCGCACCAUUAAUUAGCCUCGAGAGCACGUCUGUAAAGAUGAGGAAGAGAUAUGGAGAUAGGGGUUGCCCUGCCGGAGCCCCCGCGACGGCUUGAACUUUCUCCUUGGUUAUCCAUUCACUAGGACCGAGAAAUCCACAGUGGAUGCAUAUCCCAUUACCAACCUUAUCCACAUCCCACCAAAACCCAUUCGGAUCAUGACUGCCUUCAAGAAAUCCCAUUCAAUCCUAUCAUAUGCCUUAUUCAUAUCAAUCUUCAUAGCUAGCUCAAAUUUAGUUUUCACUUUCCAAAGCUUGAGAAAAUGGAACACCUCAUGGGCCAUUAAAAUAUCGUCCUGGAUCUGCUGGCCCUCCAUAAACGCGUUCUGGGUCGGGGAUAUGAUUCUAGGUAACCAAUGCUUUAAUCUAUUGGCCAGCAGUUUAGAGAAGAUUUUAUAAGAGUAAUUACAUAUCGGCCUAAAUUGACUCACCGAGGAUGGGUUUGCAACUUUUGGAAUAAGGACAAUGUGAGUGGAGUUAACUUCCUCAUGAUCUCCCUUCCGGUGGCAAAAUCCUCCACCAACCCAUUCACCUUUUCCCUAAUAAUAUCUCAAAAGGAUUGAUAGAAGACCCCCUAGAAUCCAUCUGGGUCAGGCGCCUUCAAACCACCAAUUUGGAAAACCGCCUCCUUUAUCUCUGUCAAAGAAAAUGACUCACAAAGCUUAUCAUUCAUUUCCUCUGAGACCGAUGAAUGAAUAUAGUCAAAGACUUGACCCCACUCCCUCAUGCCCCCCCCCCCCCGACGUAAAAAGACCAGUGAAAUGGUCGUUUAUCACCCGUUUGAUUCCUUCGCUAUCUUCCUGCCACACCCCCCUCCCAUCUUGCAGCUUUGCAAUUCUAUUAAAAUGUCUUCGCUGAAUUGUGGUUUGGUGGAAAAAAAACGAGAGUUUGAAUCUCCUUCUUUGAGCCAUUUUAUACGGGAUCGUUGCCUCCAGAAUAAUUCAUCCCAUUCAUCUAGCUUUUCAAUAUUGGCAACAAUGGCUCUAAUCUCCUCCUCGUUUUCCUCCCACUGACCUUGAAGAUGUCCACUGAUUUUUCUUUAGUACCUGCAUGCAUCACCUUCAAUUACAAAGAAAGUAGGUAAAAUUCUUCUAUACUGAUUUUUCUAGACUACAUACAGGCACUGAGUGCCGAUCCAACAGUUCUCGAUUGGUAAAAUACGUGUUGGCACUAAGCGCCUCUAGAUGCUAAAAAUAAAAAAUAAAAAAAUUGCUCAUCCACUGCAUUAGCACAAAAUUUUGGGAUCAAAAUUUUAUUUUGCUUUGCUAUUUUCUUUUUAACAAACGAUAUUAUCUACACUAAACUAAGGGAAAGUGAGGUAGGCUAAGCCUUAUAAUAGGCUGCAAUAAUGUGGUUCAAAUUCAACUUUUGCGAGAAUUAAAUCUAAGACUUCUUACUUACAAAUGAAGAGGAAUAUCACUAGAAUGUAUACUAAGAGCAACUCCACCCUUGGUGGUUGCUCGGGGGACAGGCGAAGGGAAAAGGCCCGAGGGCCGGUGGAUAGGCCUCCAGCCUUGGGCAGCCCGAGUCAAGGUGGGAGCUCGAGGGUUAGGCCUGUGGAGAAUUGACAGCCCGACAGCCCGAGUUGUGUGUGGGGUCAGCCUGACGCCAGGCCUGGCGUCGGUGGUUUUUUUAUUUUUUUUGUGUCAGGCGCGUGCCCCUCACUCGCGAGUGGGGGCGCGUCAGCCUACAAGUUUACAGGGCAUAGGGCCCGCGCCCCAGGAAAUGCAGGUGACUGUUGGGAAGCCACGUGGCUUCCCACGGUCCGUUCAAUCCCAACAGCUCUUUAAUACGAGCCGUUCGAUUUCCAACGGUAAUAAAAAAAAAGCUGAUUUAAUAUCAACCAUUCGAUCUGAGAUCAACGGUUGAUGUUAAUCUGCUUUAUAAAUUUAAAAAAGAAAAAAGAAAAAAUAGUUUUAAAAUUAAAAAAAGUUACCGUUGUGACACGUGGCGUAAUCUGGAGUGUUGGAAUUCAAUUUUUUUAAAUCCAACGACAGAGUUUAAUUAUUUGAAUAAAAAAAAUUUAAAAAUUGUAAAAAAUCUGAAAAAAUAUCUGAAAAUUUAAAAAAAAAAAAUUACAUAAGAGAAUCUUUAUUCAAAUGACAUAAACACACCAAAUAAAAAACUCACGAAAUGAACACCAAAUAAAACAUACCAAAUAAAAUUACAUAAACACCAAAUAAUAAAAACCUCACUAAAUGAACCAAAAUAAAACACACCAAAUAAAAUUACAUAAACAUACCAAAUAAUAAAAAACACACUAAAUGAACUUUAUUAUCUUCAGCUUGUUUCAAUGCCCACUGGUACUCUAUCAAGUCAUUUUGCCUGGCAUUGUGCAUGUCUGGCCUUUGAAAUGCAGUAUAUCGUUGAAUGACCCUUUCAUUGUAACGUUCAUCCCUUUCUAAUGGCUCAUGUUGCACGGGCUCAUCGGUGGCAUCAUGAGCACAAUAUAUAUGUGUUCUUGAAUUGUUCAUCGUGUCUGGCUCAUAUUCAUCAACAGCUUCAUAAUCGUACUCAUCUUCCACAAUCAUGUUGUGAAGAAUGAUGCAUGUCAUCAUGAUGGAUCGAAGCGACUCUACAUCAAACAAUCUGGCAGCAUCCCUGACGAUCGCCCAGCGAGCUUGAAGGAUACCGAAACAACGCUCCACAUCCUUCUUGUAUCCCUCUUGACACCUUGCAAAGUGUUUUUCCUUUGCACUUCGCGGACGUGGCGCUGUUUUGACAAAUGUUGACCACCUUGGGUAAAUGCCGUUAGCUAGGUAGUAUGACCCGUUGUACAUACGUCCGUUGACCUCAUACGUGACUUUUGGUGCCUUUCCGUGCAGGACAUCAUUGAACACUGGGGAUUGGGUAAGAACGUUGAGGUCAUUUUGAGCUCCCGGAACCCCGAAAAAUGAUUGUCAAAUCCAUGUAUCAAAAGAUGUCACCGCCUCCAAAAUGAUAAUUUUUGCUCAUUUUCUAUCUCCAUAAGCGCCUUGCCAUGUACUUGGACAUUUUUUCCACAUCCAAUGCAUACAAUCAAUGCUCCCAAUCAUUCCAGGAAAACCUCGCAUCUCGGCAUUCUUCAGAAGCCUUUCCAAGUCCAUGUGAGUAGGUUUUCGGAGGUACUCUACGGUGUAGAUAGAUUCGAUUGCUCCGCAAAACCUCAUCAGGGACUCAAGAAUGGUUGAUUUCCUCAUCUUCGUUAUCUCAUCCAUUUGGUCUACAGAUGCUCCAUACGCAAUGCUCCAUACGCAAGCAUCCGCAGCGCAACAGUAAUUUUUUGCUCGGGAAGGAGACCCAUAGCACCACAUGCAUUCUUCUUUUGCUGAAAGUAAGAAUCAUGGUUGCAAACCGCAAUCAUGAUUUUGUUGAACAAAUGUCGUUCCAUUCUAAAACGACGUCUGAAGUACGUAUCAGGAAAUGCACUAUUAUGGACAAAAUAAUCGUCCAACUGCUCCACACCUCGUUGCUGCCUCCUUCUAUCAAGGUUUCCGAAACGGGUGGGCCUGUAUAUCUGAGCCACAACUUGGAUGACUCGACGGGAAUGUGAGUCUCUGGCCAUUCUUAAUUCGUCAUCUCUCAUUCUCCGCUCCUCAUCCUCUUCCUUCUCAUUUUGGGCUAUAUGGAGAUUGAAUAUUCCUUCAGAUUAGAUAAACAAUUCUUUCUCUUCUUGAUCGAUUUCCCACAUCAUGCUUGAAGAAGAAGACAUUGUAAGUAGAAACUAUAAAUAAUGAUACAGAUUUUGAUUUAGUGAAGAAGGAAGCAGAAACUAUGAAUAAUGAUAAAGAUAUUGAGAAAAUUGGUGUGAGAUUUAAAAGGAUGGAUGAUGGAUUAUAUGAAGGAUUCUGAAAUGAUUAGGUUGUAGAUAGUGCCACAUGGCAUGCCGUCAUUCGUUAAAAAUCUCAUCGAAUUCUAUCCUAAAAGAUUCUGAAAAGAUAACGACACGUGACACGACGACAUUGGAUAAAAAUCUUAUCGAAUCUAUCAUCAAUAAUUAUCUUUUCGGAUAAUGACAUGUGACGCAACGAUAACGAUUUAAAAUCUGAUUGAAAUCUAUCCUCAAAGAUUCUGAAAAGAUAAUAACACGUGGCACGAUGACAUUGGAUAAAAAUCUUAUCGAAAUCUAUGACCAAUAAUAGUCGUUUUGGGUAAAUGACAUGUGGCGCAUCGAGAACGAUUUAAAAUAUCUUAUCCGAAAUUACAAAUAAAUUUAUUUAGUAUUAUUUUGUAAAAAAAAAUUAAUAAUAUUUUACCAGGACUAUUCAAGUGCAAGGGUGGAGAUGCAAAAAUCAGUUACUGUUCAUUAGAGUAGUUAUUGUUCACAUGGUGGAUUGCAUAGUGGAUUGCCUGGGGAGAACUUCAAGGGUGAAGUUGCUCUAAUUGACAUUUUGUUUUGCUCUUUUACUCACUCUGUUUCUUGGCACCUACUACGUAGGCUAGCGGUACUGGAAACUUAAAGCACGCACAAGGAUCAAGUCCUUGAAAAAACAGAUCAAUCAUGUUACUCAGAGGUGAGAUCACCCGUUUUUUUCUUCCUUUUAUGUACAAUGAAUUAUGCAAACAUAAAACAUAUACUGAUACAAUUUGAUGUUUUCCAAAAAUAAAAAAUAUCCAUUCCUGCAGUUGUAAGCAGUUUGAUCUUCACACAGAAAAGGAAGGCAAUGCAAAUUUUCCCCGAAAGCGUGAGAGAAGCGUGGAACGAGUGGGAGCUUCGGGCCAUGGUUUUAAUCAGCCUUGCCUUGCAAACCAUCCUCAUCCUGAUCGGCAACUGGAGAAAGCAUUCAACCAGCAACAUACUCCGAAUUGUCCUCUGGCUCGCUUACUUGUCAGCUGACUCCGUAGCAACCGUCUCACUCGGGAUUCUCUCCAGCAACCAGGAAGACUCCGAAGGUGAUUCUGUAAACCCCAACUUUGUUAUAACAGCAUUCUGGGCACCGUUUCUUCUCUUGCAUCUCGGCGGUCCAGAUACGAUUACUGCUUACUCGUUGGAGGAUAAUGAGUUGUGGCCUAGGCACUUGCUUGGGGUAGUUGUCCAGGUGAUUGUAGCUUUGUAUGUGUUUAUAAGAGCAUGGUCUAGUAAAAUGUUGAAUUUUUUGGCAAUUCCCGUUUUCGUAGUUGGAAUUAUAAAAUUUGGGGAGAGGACUUGGGUUUUGAGGUCUGCAAGUAGUGAGCAUUUUCGAGAGUCUAUGCUCCCUCCUCCGGACGCAGGUCCGAAUUAUGCUAGAUACAUGGAAGAAUACAGCUCAAAGAAAGCUGAGGGGUUUAGGGUUGAACCGAAAACAUUCAUUGAAGCUCCCAUAGGUUUUGAUCAUUCCGAUGCAGUUCAAGCUAAUGAAUCUAGUAGUGCCCAAAAUGCUGCAGUUUUAAACAAAGCUUAUAGUUUCUUCGAAACUUUCAAGCGGCUGUGUGCCGAUCUCAUCCUCACCUUCCACGAUAUAGAAAACAGCCAAUCGUUCUUCCAACAUAGAAGCUCUGAGGAAGCUCUCGAGGUUAUUGAGUUCGAGCUAGGGUUCAUGUAUGAUGUGUUUUAUACUAAAUCACUUCUGGUUUAUUCUGGUCUUGGUGGAAUACUCCGUUGCAUUACUCUUUCUUUCACAGUUUGUGUGUUCCUGGCCUUCGUGUUGAUCACGGAGAAGCAAGAAUACAUGAAAGUGGAUGUAAUUAUCACAUACAUAUUGUUGGUAGGAGCUAUUGUCUUAGAAUUUUAUGCAGUUGUCAUCCUACUUUCAUCGGACUGGACCCUGCUGUGGCUGAGCAAGCACAAAAACACAGCAGUAGAUCUCUUGCUCAGAUUGGUUUCAUCAAUCGCUUUGAUAAAAAACAAGAGGUGGUCUAAUACCUUGGCACAAUACGACCUCAUAACAUUUUGUCUCAAAGAAAGGCCAGCAAAGUGCAUUUUCAUCAACGAGGACUGGUUUAUAAAUCGGUUACUAGAGAAGUAUCGAUACAGAGACUUGAAGGAUGUUUCCAAAGAGUUGAAGAAUUUGAUAUUUGGGCAGCUGCUAGAGAAGUCGAGGACUGCUUCUAAUUUCGAGGCCAGCAAACGAAAAGAACUAUGUGCUCGAAGGGGUGACAUGGUGCUUGAGAAAGCAAAAUGUCUAGAUGAACUUGGCUGGACAAUUAACGGGGCCGAAUUUGAUCAAAGCAUCCUUCUUUGGCAUAUUGCGACAAAUCUAUGUUACUAUUCUGAUCUGGAAUUUUAUCAUAGUCCAAAUUCUGAAGCCAGCAUUCUUAAAAAAAAUUCUGAAGCCAGCAAGGUGUUAUCAAACUAUAUGUUGUAUCUUUUGGUGAUGUGCCCCUUCAUGCUGCCAAAUGGGAUUGGACAGAUAAGGUUUAGAGACACCUGUGCCGAGGCUGAGGAAUUUAUCACCGAAAGAAAGUCCAUAAAGAAUAGAGAAACGGCCUGCAAAAUGUUGCUCAAAGUGAGCACAGACAUCCUUCCAUCGAAAGUGAAAGGAGAUAGAAGCAAGUCGGUUCUAUUUGAUGCAUGCAGGCUUGCUAAAGCUCUGCAGUUCCUUGAGUCUAAGAAACACUGGGAGAACAAUGAGAAAAAAUGGGAGUUUAUAAGUCAUGUGUGGGUGGAAAUGCUUGCUUUCGCUGCCAAUCAGUGCCGGUGGAGUGAUCAUGCUCAGCAGCUCAGGCGAGGAGGAGAGCUGCUCACUCAUAUCUGGCUUCUUAUGGCACAUCUUGGUUUAACUGAACAGUUUCAAAUUUCAGAGGGCCAUGUUAGGGCAAAGUUGAUUGUGGAGUGAAUUUAAGUGUCACUCACUACAAAGAAUGAUCCAUUUUCAAGAUGUCCUAACUAUGUUAUGCUUUUCAGAUUGUAACUCUGUAGUCCGACCAUAGACCGGAUUUUCAAUAUUGCUUAGUUAAUGUGCUGAUAUUAUUAUUCCCCCUAAACAUAUUGAUAAAUAACGAACAUUCUACAUUGAUAAUUUCUUAUAAAUCAUAUCGGACUUCACUUAUGUAGUAACGAUUCAUAAUUGGAGUGUAACUAAAAAUAAGAGGACUCGCCAGGUAUAAAUUACUUGGUAAAUAGACAGUUUGCAAUUACGAGAAAACAUUUAUCCUUGUAGUUCUUGCAAGGCCAUGGCUUGCCCUACAACUACAACAUCAAACUCCAAGUUGCUGACUCAAAUUAAUUGUCUAGGGGUGGACAUAAAAGCCGGCCAACGGAAAACACAUUAGAGCAACUCCACCGUUGGAGCCCUCCCCCCAGGCAAUACACUAUGUUAUCCACCCAGUGAACAGUAACUGCCCUAAUGAACAGUAAUCCCCCAGGCAAUACACUUUUGCAUCUCCACCGUUGCACUUCAAUAGCCCUGGCAAUAGGCAAUAAAAUAGUAGUAUUUUUUUAUUAUAAAAUAAUACAAAAUAAUUUUAUUUGUAAUUUCGGAUAAGAUUUUUAAUCGUUCUCGUUGCACCACGUAUUAUUAUCCGAAAAGUUAUAAAAUAAUACAAAAUAAUUUUAUUUGUAAUUUCGGAUAAGAUUUUUAUAGAAAAGUAAAAACAUUUUUUUUUUAAAUUUUCAGAUUUUUUUUUCGGAUUUUUUACAAUUUAAAUUUUUUUUAUUCAAAUAAUUAAUCUCUGCCAUUGGAUUUAAAAAAAUUGAAUUCCAACACUCCAGAUUGUGCCACGUGUUACAACGGUAACUUUUCUUAAUUUUAAAACUAUUUUUUCUUUUAUUUAUUUAUUUAUAAAGCAUAUUAAUAUCGACCGUUGAUAUUAAAUAAGAUUUUUUUUAUUUUUUUUACCGUUGAGAUCAAACAGUCCAAGUUAAAGAGCAGUUGAGAUCGAAUGGACCGUGGGAAGCCACAUGGCUUCCCAACGGUAUCAUUUCAGUCUGAAAAGAUGUCGGGCAAUGCGCCCCCACUCGCGAGUGGGGUGCACGUGCAUGACAGAAAAAAAUUAAAAAAUGGCCUGACACCGGGCUGAUGUCAGCCCUGGCAUCACAUCCACUCAAGCUCUCGGGCUGGCAAUUCUUCAUAGGCCUGGAGAUCGGGCCUCCACCUCCGCUUGGGAUCCCUUCACGCUAGAGCGAAUCCACAGGGCCUUGGGCCCUUUUCUCUAGCAUGUCCCCCAAGCAAUCCACCACGGUGGAGUUGCUCUUAGAUCAUAGUAGAUCCUUCGAUUUGGUUUGGUUUUUGUAAAAAGUGUGCCCUUUUGAAGCGGACAAAACCAACACUGAAAGUUUCCCACCCCCCCCCCCCAAAAAAAAACCCAACAUUGAAUGGUUCAGUUUCAGUCGAUUUGAUUGAACCUCAUAACAUUAUUCAAUUUGAUCGACAAUUUGAAAGUGGGGCGGGGCCGAACCGACCCAUGCUCACAUGAAAAUAAUUAUAAUAUGUUGUAUAAUAAUCGAUAUAUGUAUAGUUGCAUAUAAAGUAAAUAAAAUUAUUAACAAUUGUAUUAUAGAGACAAGACUUACUAUUUGAUCAACAACAAGACAAGAUUAUUCCACCUAAAAGUAUUCACUUUGGUUUGAAUUCUUCUUUUCACAACAUAAUGGUCAGAUAGAACCAAAUCAAACCAAAGCGAAUACAUUUAGGUGAAAUAGUCUUGUCUUGUUGUUGAUCAAAUAGUAAGUCUUGUCUAUAUAAUACAAUUAUGUUGUGAAAAGAUAAGACUACUCCAUCAUUUUCAAAUAAAAUAGUAAGUUUUGCCUCUAUAAUACAAGUAUAUUGUUGAUAAAAUAUAAGUCUUGUCUUGUCGUUGAUAAAAUAGUAAGUCUUGCCUCUAUAAUACAAGUAUAUUGUUGAUAAAAUAUAAGUCUUGUCUUGUUGUUGAUAAAAUAGUAAGUCUUGUCUUGUUCUAUCUGACCUAAAAAUAAGACUACUCCAUCAUUUUCAUUGUCCCCAACCUUAUCGUUUCGGUCAGAUAGAACCAAAUGCUACAUUAUUAUAACUUUUAAAAGAUAUUUUUGUUUGUAAUCAUUGAAUUAAAUUUCAAAGACCACGAUUGUCUGCUUAGCUGACUCUAUUUUUUAAGAUCAGGAGAGGAUCCUCUUCUAAUCCGUCCCCAACCUUACCUUUUCGGUCAGAUAGAACCAAAUGCUACAUUAUUAAAAUGUGCAGAUGCAAUUAUUAAUCUCUACCCCAACUAGGUGGAGGUAGAUUUUCCACCCUCCCACUUCCAUUGUCCUCUUGUUUUGUGUGUUAACGGUUAAGUCACUUUAAUAUUUUAUAUUAAUUUUUUUAUAGAGAUAAUAAGACAAAAAUAAAUAGUAAUAUAAAACGUUGAUGUGACUUAACCGUGAUCACACAAACAGAAGGGCACGAAAGGGCACAAGAAGUGGAAGGGCAGACUGCCUCCCAACUAGAUUCCACUAGAUUUGGCUUUCACUGUUGUUAGUCAGAGAGAGACAUGAAACAAGAAUUGUAAGGAGGCAGAUUGUCUGCCAUCCUGUUUUGAUGCAUUCCCCAUUCCCUUUUGUUUGUGCGAUUACGGUUAAACCACGUUAUUAUUUUAUAUUCUUACUAUUUUUUGUCUUAUUAUCUCUAUAAAAAAAUCAAUAUAAAAUAUUAAUGUGGCUUAACUGUGACCGCAUAAAACAGAAGAUGAUGAAAAUAACACCAAAACAGGAGGGCAGACAAUCUGCACUCCGAAUUGUAAACCGACGCUUUUCCAAAUCAAUAAUUAAUUUGGGAGAUCACAGCAGCACGACAAAAUCCUUGUAUACGGGCUGUUACAUACGGCAGCCCCCUAACAGAGGGUGGGACUCACGUCACGGUUGAAGCCCACUUCCUGUGAGAGAACUACGACAGCCGUAUGCUUGAAUUUUUCGAGCAGCAAGCAUGCAAGUUUUACAAGAAUUACCAUGAAAAUUCAAAGGUACUAACUUUACCACAUCUAAAUAAGUGAAUAAUGGGGUAUUUAAAAAAUACACUCCGACUUCUCGGGCAACCUUCUGUAGAAGUUAGCCAGGAUUGAUGGCAUUUGUUUCCUACGCCGCAACCUGGGGUGCCUCAUCAAGUAAAACCCACCAACAAUAACUACAACCUUCAACGGUGUCACAAACAACAAAAUGGCAACAAAAAGACAGAAUGUGAUGAAUAUAAAAGUGGCGCGAGGAUCCCGCCAACUGAUGAGAAAUUCCUGAAUCCGCUCCCCCAUCGUUGCAACAUCCCCCACCACAGUUUGAAUCCUUCCGGCAAUACUCCUCAAGCGGUCGUACCUCAUCUUCAUUAUUUCAUCGUUUUGUGAAGUUGGAAAUGUGUCAAAUUCUUCAUCAAGCUCAUCAGGGUGCGCAGCGUCUGCAUGUGAGAGCCUUGUGUCCACAUGGAGAGGGUGUCUUGGGCGGUACCGCAAGUUCGAAAUCCCUGUAAGGAACAUGUAUAGGAAAACAGUUGACAAAAUAAGUUCCGGAGUGCACACCAGCAUCACAAACAGGACAUGUACUAGCACUGUUAUAAUGGAACUUCUCCAUGCACAUACUUCAUCAAACCAUUUCAGAACAGAAAUGAACCAGGAUAAAACACCCAUCAUUCUGAAAAAGUUUGCCUUGCUGCGCCUCAGGCUCCAAACAUGAACAUCUGCAGCAUCAGAGUACAUGUAUUCAACUACUUCCUUCCCAAGAGGUGGUUCUACCUGAGCAAGCCUAUCUGCCACCACCAACACAGCUUGAUCCCUCAAUGUGCCUGGCUGCACCUUUACCGAAACGGGUUGAAAGUAAAUCAACAUCAGAUUGGCCAAUGAUAUGCAUGAAAACCUUAUUGCAAGAUGUAAUUCGCCCGUCUUCUUGACACCAGAAGGAGAAAGGGAUAGUAAUGGAUAACAGUGUGUGUACACGCGGUCUGAUUCGAGGGUAGAGAUUCGAAUCCGGACCUUGCCAAUUUCUUUAUCUUUUUUUCCACUUGAAUUGCCAAUCUGCCUGUUAUCAAAAACCCCGACUGUGAGAAUUGAGACAGGAUCAUAUACCUCCCAAGUGUACUGCUCACUGUAUUUUGGACUUGGGCUGUUAGUUAUGGUUCGAGUACGAACCCAUUUGUCGCCAAACUUCGCCACACAAUACGAGUCAGUUGUAGCCUUCCCAGUCUCUGUUUUCAUUGGCAUUAGGUCUUUGGCAUUUAGAACUCCGAGCUCUAAGACACCAACAGGCCGCUGCAGGUCGUUGCAAUAGUUAGAAGAAUCAUCAAGUAAAUGGUACCCUCCAUCUAGACAAACAUGGAGAUGGAUUCUCCUGGAAAACUUAUGAUCUCUAUCUUUCUCCAUGGCAUUUGACAGAGACAUGUCAAGGUUAAACCACUGCCCACAGAUAAUUUGAUCAUCAUCAGCAGAUUCACCGCACCUCUUAACGGAGUUCAAUGCUAUGGAAACUCUUCCUAAUGUCUCCUCUUUGUCUGGACAUACAUGAUCUUCAACAGAAACGAUCAGAUGUUGAUCAUCAAAGGGUUCGGCAGUGACAAACAUAAGUUCCUCAUUCCACAUUGGGUUCAGAGAUUGAACUUCUCUUGUCUUUAAACACUGAUGACCGAUUUGUAUACUUGCGUAUGCAUCUGGGAUUCGAGAUGUGUCAGGUACAACCAAGUCCCGUGCCUCAAUCACCUUUACCCGUACGUACCAUAAUCUUGGUGAAUCGUAAACUUUUGAGCGGACAUGUGUAUAAGCAGCUGAAGACAUAUCAUCAGGAAGAAUUAUAUCAGAAUACCAGGCAUUUGGAAAAGCUUCAUCAGCUUGAGUGCCAUACCAUACAGCAAGCAUUAGUUCCCCUUUCUUCUUCUUCUUCCCAUCCUUGUCUACUAGCUGAUGCCUUUCCGGAGCCACUGGAACUCGAGUCUGAACUUCAUCGAGAGCAAACUGCACAGACCCAACAAAGUCAUCAUUUACAAGUUCAUUGUCUUUGACCACAACAUCCAAAACAGAUGAGUGCAGAUUUUCCUUAAGAAAUGCAAACACCUCAUUCCAUUCAGGGUUCUGCUUUUUCUCCAAACUUCUUGUAAUUCCUUUGCAGUUCCCAACUUUCACUUCCACAUAUGCGUCACGACAAGAAAGGUCGAGGGCCUUCACAACGCGUACAAACAGGUAAUGCAUUGUUUCGACAAGCUCAUGGGUGCUGAUGACUGGACUGUCUCCACGCACAAAUCGCCCACGAACAACCUGCCCCCCUCCCAAGUAAGGACUUGACUCUUUAAGCAGAUAAUCAGACGGUCGAGAUGAAGAACCUGAGUUCUUCGGAGCAACUUUAGGAGGCUCAUGGGAUUCGGACUUCGCCUCAUGGUUCACCGAUGGCUGCGAUUGAUUUGGGUUUGCAAGGUAAGCCUUCAGAGCAAGCUCUCCUCUCACGCGGGAGAAAGAGAAAACACCUCUUUUUUUAAGAGAGUAGAGCGAAACAUGAGCAUCAGAGUAUGGGACAAAUGAUGUCCCAGGCAGACAAACCUUUCCAAGGAAAGUUGUAGAGUUGGCAUUUCCAUUGUGGAAAACAUUGGCCUCAACAACGAGGUCACGCAGGCGGUUUGGAUCGGAGACAUCAAAGAAGAUGGUUUCAUUCCAAACAUGAUUGACAUCUCUUGCUUUUGUGCUGGUUCGGGCUCUCUGACGAUCGAACAGGAACUCCACAUAAGCACUGGUUGUGCUUUGUCCAUGUCUCAGCAUAAGGUUAUGGGCACUCACAACCUCCACCGCUAACUUGAGGUUACUCAUUCCUGGAUUCGAAGUCAACGAAGAAUAGCAAGAAAAUAAGUACCAGAGAGAGAGAACCAAAAAGGUAGCUGAAAAUUUACAGAUAAUGUUAAAUGCAUGAACAACGAAAAACAGAACCACGUGGUAAAGGUCGAUGACAGAUGGAUGGCACUAUAGUCGUUUAUGAAUAAACAGAGUCAAGAAAAGUGGGUGGAGAUUAGUUUACAAAUGUAGAAAAAGCCGUAUAGAGAAGAGCAGGCCGGGAAGGGAUCCCCAUUUCUUAGAAAAUAAAAUAAAAUGGGGAACCUUCAUCACCGUUAAAUUUAACUUUAAUAAAAUUAUAUGGUUAAAAUUAAACCACAAGAAGAAAACAUAUAGUCUCCUUGUUUCUAUUGCUUUGUAAUUUCUGUUAAUGAGAGAGAUUAAUGUUACUGUUACUGUUCCUAGGACGCACACUUAACGAACCUUGUAAAUAUUAUUUCUUAUUUAUUUAUAUCUCAUUACACACAUAUCCUCAAUUUCACAACAAACCACAAAAAAAAAAAAACAGAAAAGGGAAUUGGAUCCCCUCCUAAGCAAAUGGUGGGGAUCCUCAUGACCACACAACACAGGAUCCAACGGCUAUAAUUAUUAUAAUUCUUAAAAGGAUCAUCUAUUUAUAACUGUUGGAUCAAAAUCUAACAACCUGUGUUGUGUGGUCAUGAGGAUCCCCACCAUUUGCUUAGGAGGGGAUCCAAUUCCAAAAAAAAAUAUAUUCCCAAUAAUUUAUGUGCUACCUACUCCUACAUCGGCCUCCCUUAUCAAUCAUGGAGCUGCGUACCCUACAGAGAGAGAGAGAGAGAGAGAGAGAGAGAGAGAGGGAGAGACUGCUUCAAUGGUCUGAGAAAGCAAAAAAGUUCAAAAGAAUAAUGUAACCUGAUCAGUGUCCGUAAAAGCAAAUUCCUCUACUCUUUCUUCUCCUUGAAUAUUUCAAUUUGUUUCUCCUUGCACUCACUGCAAAUUGAGCAAAUCCGUUUUCUUUAAACCAAAGCUGCUGCUACAUCAAUUCGCGGCCGCCGGAGAAGUCAUGGAUUUGAACCCUGCUGGAGAUCGAGGUUCGAAUUAUUUUGAUAAAGUUCUGUCUAUGGUUAGUUUUGCAUACAAUAAGGAGAGAGCAACCAAUUCCUCGCCAUUCAUUGAUUCCAUUCUCCACAAUGCUCACUUCCUUGUCUUUUUUGCUGUGUAUCUUAUUUGCCGUUAUGUAAAUCACAUAUCACUGUAUCAAGCACUUGUUUGUGUCGGCCUUACCCCAUUGUUUCUCUAUUUCUACAUCAACUAUGCGCCGUUUCUGUUCUUAGAGGAAGACAUCAAGUGGAUUCGAAGAGAGUCGAGGUUACUGCAUGCCAUCGUUGAGGAUGCAGAGAAAAUCAUGCAUUAUAGUGGUCUUAUAGGCGCAAGAGCACGCAAAAUCUGGGAUUCUAAUCCUGAUGGAGCAACCGUGAAAGGAGUUGAUGAAACUGAGGUUGCAUUGUUGGAUAAAGCCAAAUCCAUGGCUUUAAGAGCAAAAAAUUUGGUUGCGACCUUUGAGAAACAGAGGAUCGCAAGAGACUCCCACACCCAAAGAUUAUGUUUCGAUAUGAUCACUGAAAAUUUCCAGCAGGUAUCAGAGCUGUUCACAGAAACUAAGACUGUUAAGCAGGGCAUGAAGGAUAUCUUUGAGGGGAAUAAGGAUUACUGGAUUGGCAUUGGCGAAUCUCUGGAGAGGUCAAGGUCCAGUAUUAUAAGCCUGCUGCCCAGGCCCGUGCAUGGACAUGGUCAACAAAAAUGGGUGCAGUCCAAAGAACAAGUUUCCUCAGCAGCUGCUUUGGCGUCCACUGUCGAAGAGAACAUAAAACGUCUCAUCACUCAAAAGCCAGAUUUAAUGCGUAAAGAUACCGGAAAGCAAAUAAUUUCAAUAAACCUGCAACUGCAGCAACUGCAUCAUUUUCUGAAAGAUGUACAAGGAAUUCGAUUCGAAAGUGAAAUUGAAGGGGCCUGGGUGAAGGAAGUGCACGAGAUGAUUAAUGAAGCACAUCAUGCCAUUGACAAGUACUUGCAGAGAAUUAGGUGGCUAUCAUUUAUCAACAAUUGGAAGGCCGGGAGAAAGCUCAAGGGGGACAUAAGGUGUAUACACGUUGGGUUCACACAACUCUUAGAAAGGAAAGAUAGUUAUGGCUUCAAGUUUUUAAGAAGAGAUUCAUCAAAAUUCGUCUAUCAGUCCCCACAUCAGACUCAAGACGACUUAAUUAUUUCAACUAGAUUAAGCAGGAUGCAGGAGUUCCUCAGUAAGAAGUCACCUUUAUUGGGUGAAGUAUUUUAUGAAGUCACUUCGUUGUGCAAUCAAUUGGAAAGAAUGCAUAAACUCGUACUUGGCGCAUCAGUAACAGGAGGAGGAUAUAAUUCCAGAAUGUCUUGGUUGGAGCAAACCCGGAAAAUUUUUGAUAGUGCAGAGAAAUCUUUGACUACCUUUCAGUGGAAUUCACUCAAUAUGUGGCAAAACCCUCUAUUUAAAACAAGUGCUGGGAGGAAACUUUCCCGUGACAUUGACCUCAUAAAUCAUACUAUUGAUCUUUUCUUGAAAUGCAUCAGAGCAUAUGACAUUGAAGUAAGGGAAGAGUCAAACUCAGUGGUUGGUUUGGAAGAAGACACUGAAGCAGUGGUCUCACAACUGACAACCAACAACGAACACCGCUCGGUGAUUUCCAUUGUGGGGAUUGGGGGCAUAGGAAAGACAACACUGGCAAAGAAGAUUUAUGACAAUGGAGUUGUUGUAGACCAUUUUCCUUGCCGUGCCUGGGUUUCUAUACCUCAGAAGUCUGAUAACAAAGCACUUUUGGAAGAUGUGGCAGAGCAGGUAUUGAGGUCUCUUCAACUACAAGGGGAAAAAAAUCGCAAUGGAUCCUGGAUUCAUAAGGCGCAUGAUGUCUUGAAAGACAAAAGGUACCUUUUAGUUCUUGACGACAUCUCGACGGUAGAAGAAUUGGAGACCCUGAAAGCAGAAUUUCCAGUAACAUCAUCUGGAUGCAAAAUUCUGCUCACUACACGUGACAACAUUGUGGCUUCACAAGCAGACGCUCCCCACCAACUUCGACUUCGAACCAAAGAAGAGAGCUGGAAGUUGUUCACCCAGAUGGUGCACUUUCCGCCAACAGAGGAAUUACUAGCAAAAGAUAUUUUAGAUAAAUGUGGGGGUUUACCACAAGCAAUCUUCCAUGUUGGAUAUCUGAUGUUAGGGAAAGAUGCGAGCGUGGCUGAGGAGGUCAAAGGGGUGCUUAGAUACAUCAAACAGAAUGAUGCACCAUUGUUAGAAACCUUCACUAUAAGGUCCAUUCACUCGUCUCCUCAUCUAAGAAACUGUCUUUCUUACUUCAAACUCUUCCCCAACAACUUUGAAAUUCCGGCAAGGAGAUUAACCGCAUUGUGGAUUGCAGAAGGUUUGGUAGGAGAUCAGGAGACGGAAGAAACUGGCAAAGAUGUUGCAGAUAAGUAUUUGUCCGACUUGAUCCACCUGGACAUGAUUCAAGUAGUCAAAAGAAAGCACAACGGAGAAGUCAAGACAUGUCGAUUGCCAUAUGCUCUACAGAAAUUUGAGUUGCCAGAUAUGAGCCAAGAAAGACUUACUGAUCGUUAUAACAGAAGCGACGAGACAUUUACUCUUAUUCAUGGUGACAGCUCAAACGUUCCAAUUCCUGAUCUCGUUUCCAUCCUCUCCUUUGAUACUCGAGAAGGAAAUAAACCUGGAGAAGAAAUAGGCAACUUUCUACGAAGAGGCAUCGCAGGUGGUUUCUUCCAUCGGCUACAGGUUCUUGAUCUCGAACGUGUAUUCAGACCUGAAUUGCCCAAUACCAUAGGAAAGCUAAAAGAGUUGAGGUAUCUUGGUUUGAGGUGGACUUUCCUGGAAUCAGUCCCAGCAUCCAUAGGUGACUUGCUGAACCUCCAAACCUUGGAUGUGAAACAUACAUAUGUGCACACUCUCCCUGGUUCAAUAUGGAAACUGCAGACACUUCGACACUUGUACUUGAACCAGAGUAAACAGAGUAAAUUUAAGCAUCAACAAGGUGGAAGUUCCCUGAAGAAUCUGCGGACAUUAUGGGGAGUAUUUCUGGAUAAAGAUAGUCCCUUGAUCCACUGGAUGGACAAGCUGAUAUACCUCAGAAAAUUGGGAUUGGCAUUCCAGUUAAGCCAGCCAGAGCAAAAACCAUUAGCAGACAAGAUUGUUAAGCUGAAGAGCCUUCGGUCUUUGAGAAUGAGAUCAAUCGAUGAAAUGGGUGAACCCAGUGAUCUAGUCUGCGUGUGCUUAUCAGGCCUUGAGAGUCUCUCCUGCCUAAAUUUGUUCGGAAAGCUAAAUCCUUCCAUGAUAGAUGAAUUCCCAAAAAAUCUCACUGAUCUUACGUUGUCAGGUGCUUCUCUGUCAGUUGAUCCAAUGCCCGUGUUAGAGAAUCUCUCCAACCUGAAAUUCCUCAGUUUUUACUCCAACUCUUAUACAGGUAUCAAGAUGGUUUGCUCCACCACAGGGUUUCCAAAGCUUGUGGUUUUAAAGUUGUGGAAGCUCCAACAACUAAAAGAUUGGGAUGUGGAGGAAAAGGCAAUGCAAAAUCUGAGGGAGUUGGAGAUAAGAGCGUGCACAAAUUUGAAGGUCCCAAGUGGGUUGAGGCACUUGAAGAAUCUCACUCAGCUGAAAUUAACUAAUAUGCCGGAAGAAUUUGUUGCAACCAUUGCGACAACUAAGGUGCAAAUUUGGGAUGACAUAACUCACUCGCCAACAGUCAUUACCGAUAGCUGGUAGUCUAUGCGGAAUUAGUCACAGGCUCUCUCUCCAGUAAUCGGGUAUGUUUUGGUUUUUUUGUACUGUGUUUAUGUGUACAAGUACUGCGUAAUGAUGCUUGUUUUCUACAUGGAAAUCAUGUUCUAGAUCGAGUGACGCUCUUACUGGUUUAUUGCUUUCAGGUAACAUCGCCCAAUGCAUUUGACGCAUAGGGAACCUGACAGCCUAGUCCAUGUUGAGUUGCAACGGGUGAUAGGUUCUUAUGAACAUGUUCAAAUUUCCUUCAACAAAACUGGGUUUGUAAUGUAAUUAUAUCUUAAGGAAUUGUUGACGUUUGUGUUUAGUACUUGAUCACUGAUUUGCUAAGUUUUCGUUUUGUUAUUUGAUAGUAUGGAUGUUAUAAUAACAGUCACUCCCACUCUUUGUUUUCUUUGAUCAUAUAUUGAUUAUUAAAUACUGCAUUUUCCUAUUUAAAUGAUCGAUCCGAGUUAGUGCUCAUCUUCCUCCUUUGCAGCUUUGCUUCAAGGGAUAAUCUGGUACUGCAUAAUUAAUUUUUUUACUUAAUUAGUGCUAAGUAAUCUAAGAGGUCGCACUUGGUGCGAUGGUAAGUGCCUUCGCUCAUGAACGGUAAGUCUCGGGUUCGAGACUUGGGAGCAGAGCCUCUCCAUAAAUAGGGGUAAGGCUUCACCUCUCCCAGACCAUGCGUGCACUGGAUACGAUCUUUUUUUUUAGUGCUAAGUAAUCUCACAGUUAGUUUAAUUAGGGUCUGUAAAUUAGUGUUAAUAAUCUAACAAUUAGUUCAUUCGUAGAAUAUAGGAUAGACUACUUUCCCCUCUUGAUCUUCUCGGCACCUCGUGAUCAUCGAUAGCUCCCUCAGGCAAUAUCGGGACUCCGCGUAACUCUUUGAGAAGACGACGACCGCGAUCCUCGACCCUUCGAUUUCUCGGUCAAGUUCUCUCUGUAUAUUCUCCCCAUUUCUGAGCUCGUAGUCUAUAAAUGUGUUGAUUUCGGCACUGCUUAACGCAAUGAGAGGUGGUCUGUGAACCCAGUGCGUGUGUCCUCGCCUCUAAAGCUCAGGAACACCUCGUAGGUUUGAACGCCGAGAGGAAGACGAACCGGCGGCGGCGGCGGUUGCAAGGGCGAGGCUGCUGGUAUUCAUUGAUUUCAAGCAAAGAAGUGAAACUCCUGAUCGUUUCCCAAGAUUCCUAGCGAAACUCCUGAUUAAUGUUUUGGAUCGUUGGAAGAUGUGAGAGCAAAAAAUAAUGAAGAAAGUAGAGGGAGAGAAGAUGCAAGAUGCGGCUGAGUAAGAAAAUAUGGGAGGGAGAAAAAAAGGGUUUUUAUCACAAAUGGUCCCUGACAUUGAUCAAACACAUCAUUUUGGUCCCUGACAUUGAAAAUCAAUAGAAAUGGUCCCUUACAUUGAUCAAACACAUCACAAAUGGUCAUUCCGUUAAAAACUUUUUGGGCAAUUUUCAAAGCUUCGUAACUCAAUCGUUUUUUAACCAAAUUCGACCUAUGAUAUAUCAAAAUGAAGAUAGGAAAGUGUAGAACAAGAUUAUAUCUAUUUGGAAGCCCAAUGGUUGCCGAAGAUGGCCGGAAAAUAGCCUCAAAUGUGUCUGGUCCGCGAAAAAACUGGAAAACUCGCCUGAAAUGGGGUAAACUUUAAACAUUCAUAACUUCUUCAAUACUCAACGAAAUUGAGUGAUUCAAAAAUGAAAAUCAUACUUCUCAAUGAGACAAAGAGAAUGGUACCUUUAUUGACUGAUAAUUUACUGUGGUUUGACAGGAAAAUGGCUCGAACUUGGAUAACCAUUUUCGAGUUAGCCAAUUUCGAGUCUUUUUCCGGCCAAACUACGAUGAGUUAGCCAUCAAGAAAGAUACCAUUCUCUUAGUCUCGUCGAGAAGUAUGAUUUUCGUUUUUGAAUCACUCGAUUUCAUUGAUUAUUGAAGAAUUUAUGAAUGUUUAAAGUUUACCCAAUUUCAGGCGAGUUUUCCAGUUUUUUUGCUGACCAGUAACAUUGGAGGCUAUUUUCCGGCCAUCUCCAUCAACCAUUGGGCUGCCAAAUAGGUAUAAUCUUGUUCUACACGUUCCUAUCUUCAUUUUGAUAUAUCAUGGGUCGAAUUUGGUUAAGAAACGAUUGAGUUACGAAACUUUGAAAAUUGCCCAAAAAGUUUUUAACGGAAGGACCAUUUGUGAUGUGUUUGAUCAAUGUCAGGGACCCUUUCUAUUGAUUUUCAAUGUCAGGGAUCAAAAUGAUGUGUUUGAUCAAUGUCAGGGACUAUUUGUGAUAAAAAUCCGAGAAAAAAAUAACAAAAACUGGGAUUGAAAAUUUGAGUUUUAACGAUAAUGACAAAAUAAAUGGUAAAAUGAAUAAUAUCAGGUUUAAUUUUUUAAUGUAAAAAUAUGGUUUUUUGUUAAAAUGAACAGUACCGUGAUCUUUUCGUUAAAAUUCUCAUAAUAAUAUGCCCGCAUUUGUAGUAAGAAGGCUUUUCUUAACAGACCUAGCUUCUCUGUCCUCUCACUUUUCAUAUACUCUCAUCCCCUCUUAUUUGUACGGUCACGGUUAAGUCACGUUCACAUUUUAUAUUACUAUUAUUUUUUAUCUUAUUAUCUCUAUACAAAAAUCAAUAUAAAAUGUUGACAUAGCUUAACCGUGAUCGCACAAAAAGAUGGUGAUGAAAAUGUAUUGAAAGUGGAAGGGCAGAGAAGCCGGAUCCUUUCUUUACAUGGACUUGAUUGAUUAAGUCUAAUCUACCAAUAUAUUAUAUUUAAUAGGCCUUAUUAUUCUUAGAGGUUGUCAUUGUCGACGGCAACGCGAUCAUUAUUCAAAGCAUAAUCAGUUUUUAAUUAAGGUGGAUCAGCUGUUCUUAUUGGUUUGAAACAUUCAAACUAUUAAAAUAUAAUAUAGUUUUGAAUAAUUGCUAGUGGACGUAUUAAACGAGAGUGCGAGAGGCACGAUAACGAUUCUUAUUGAAAAAUUUAAUCCAUAACACAUGAUGCAAAUUAAUUAAAUACAUAUUCAUAUAGGCCAUGAAAUUUAUAAAUCAAGACGUGCUCAAUUAUCAAAUUUAUUAAAAAUUUCUAAGUACCUCAUUAUUUUGUUUGGAUUGAUCAGUUGACCCGAUUAAAAUGCCCACCCUACUUGGGAACCUGCAUUUACAUCGAAUAUGAGAACUUGGCUAGGUCUCGUCCAUGUCCUUAGUACAAUUAUCCAUUAAUGGUCAUAUAUAAUGUAAUGGCAUUUUUUUUUUGAACCAUCAUAUUUGACCAUCAAUAAAUGAUUGCAAUAAGUACUUCAAUCCCUAGCUAAUAUUAUUAAACUCGAAUCGCAACGUUUACAUCGAAAGUCAGAGUAUUAAACAACUCUUGCUCCACGGCUACCUAGUGUCCCCAUUAAAAUUGAAAGAAGGCUAGAUGUGCUCUUAGCAAAUUAUUAUUGGCACUUCAAAAAUCUCAUUUGCACUCCAAACUUUCUAUAAUUAGAAAGAAAAAUGUACUUGUGAGGAUUGUAGAAUGAGAUUGUUGAACUGCUAAUAACAGUUCCCUAAAUAAAUAAAUAAAAGUAAGAUAUAUUCGGUUCGGUUUUAGAAUCAUUGAAACCGAAACCAAACCAAAUGAUUUCGGUUCGAUUCGAUUUUUUGUUCAAUUCGUUUUUUAGGUUUCGGUUCAGUGUUCCCUUCAUUUUUUUUCCUAUUUUUAAUCCACCCUUAGUUCACGACCUUAUUCUAUUUUAAAGGUGGUGUACAGGUUGGUUCAACUGAUGUUGAUGGACGUCAUGGGUUUAUGAACAAACAUAACAAGGUUGCACUGGACAUAGACAAGGUUGCAUUGGACAUGGCACAUGUUUGUGGGUUUUGCAUUGAUUGAAUUGUAUUUUAAAUGCAGACAGAUGAGCCAGAGUUUGGCAAUCAAUGCUCCAAUUAGGACAAAGUCUGAGGACCAAUUCUAACAUUAACAAAAUAUAAUAUGCUAACAUUAAAAUAUAAUCAUAAUGAUUCACAUGUGAUGAGUUCAUAGUCACGUGAUGUUUUAAUAUUGUAUGUAUAAUUUUUUUAAAGACAUCACGUUACGAAGGCCGUUUCAGUUGAAGAGCUUUGCAAAACCUUUAGCAUAGAAUGGAAAAAUGACCAACCAAUGUUGGAGAUGAUUUGUUGGGAUGAACUAAAUAUAACUAUAAAACAGGUAAAAGGCAGUAGCCUAGCGAAGUGCGUGCUACUGCUUUUUACUAUAUUUUUUUCGUAAUAGGAAAAAUGGGCGGUGGAAAGAGGAUGAGAGCCUACGGACCCUAAUGAGCUUGACCACUGGUUUGAUUGAUGGCUAAUAAUUAACAUCUCAUUUUCUAUGAAUUCUAGCACAAUUAGGGUUGAUAUAAGUUAAUGCAAAAAAGUGUGAGCCUAAGAUUUUGGAUUGGAAAAUACAAAAGAUUCUUGAAUAAAAGGAAAAUAACGUAUUUGUCAUGGGUUGUGCGUUCUUUUAUAUCUGUCAUUGACGGAUUAGUCGUCGUUAUCACCAAAUUCAUAUGGUAUAGUAUGAUAGUCGUCGUCACCACCAAACACAUAUGGUAUAGUAUGAUAGUCCUCCUCAUUAGUGUUACCAGGCUCAUAUAAUGUACGCUCAUAAUGCACCUUAUUCACUCAUGAACGUAAAAACUAUAGGAAAAUAAAAAUCGGUAGAGAGUAAGAGAAUUAGUGAAAAAGAAAGAGAGUGGUAGUUUGCAAAAAUGACUUAAUGGUCUGUCUAUUCACAUAACUAUGAAUAUUUUAGUUGAUUUUGUACACACAUUUAAGUGAGUUAUGUAUCUGUUGAAUAGUUUAGAUUCAUAAAUCUGGAUUUUCUUAAUUCUUAAAAUUGGUAUCUUAAUUUGAUAAAAUGUGAAGCAUUUAUCCUUCACACAUUCAUAACAAACGAAACAUGUAACAUACGUUUCAUUUGCUUAAUUCUGCCGACAAUUCUCAUGCAAAUGCUACAAGUUUUAUAAAAUUCUAUACAUCUCGUCAAAUAGAGAAAAAAAACACACCACACAAGGGAAAAAAACGAAGAAAACCCACUUGGUUGGAUUCGACACAUGCAACAUAUAGCCACAACAAGUGUGACCACUACCGAAACUCGAUCUGGUUAUUUUGGGUGACCAAGUGGUUCUUCUGCAUCAAAAGGAGGGAAGUCCUUGCUAAUCUGCUUGCAUCAUGUAACAGCGGGAAAUCAGUGGCGCAAUUGCACUCUCAAACCCUCAAAGCCGGCCUUUUCCAAUACGGCUUCUUUUCCACAAAACUCAACGCUCUGUACGCAAAGUAUGAGUCCCUCGUCAUGCCCGCAAGGUGUUCGACGAAACGCCCCACAGAACUGUCUAUCUCUGGAACGCCACCCUUAGGAGCUCCUGUAGAGAGAAUUGAUGGGAAGAGACCUUGUGUCUAUUUCGUAACAUGAUACCCGAGUCAAGAGGCAAUGAUGAAAAGCCUGAUAAUUUCACCAUUCUCAUUGCUCUGAAGGCGUGUGCGAGGUGAAGGGCACUGGUGUGUGGAAAAAUAAUACAGGGUUUGUGAAGAAACAUGAGAAGGUAGCAUUGAAUAUGUUUGUGGGUUCUGCGGUGAUUAAAUUGUAUUCCAAAUGUAGAGAAAUGGGCGAGGCUGUGAAAGUGUUUGAUAAGUUUCCUCAACCGGAUGUGUUUUUAUGUACUUCUAUGGUUACUGGAUAUGAGCAUAAUGGUGAUCUUGAACAAGCACUGGAGUUUUUUCUCCCGAAUUGUGAUGUUGGGGCUCAUUAAUCCUGACCGAGUGACGCUUGUUAGUGCUGUUUCAGCUUGUGCACGGUUAUCAAAUUUUAGAAUUGGAAGUUGUGAGCAUGGUGUUUCUAUUAGGAACGGAUUCGACUCUGAUUUAUCUUUAGGUAAUGCGUUGCUAAAUCUCUAUGCAAAGACGGGUUUGGUCAAAACUGCCACUAGGUUGUUCACAAAGAUGCCGGAAAAAGAUGUGGCUUCUUGGAGCUCCAUGAUUGCCUGUUACGCUCAUGAUGGGGAUGUAACAUAAGCGUUAAAUCUUUUCAACGAAAUGAUUGAUAUGAGAAUUAAACCUAAUUCAGUGACUCUGGUAAGUGCGUUGCAAGCAUGUGCACUGAUGAGUGCAUAUUUUACCAUUUAUUUUAGCCCAAAAGCUACAUUUUCUUGUGACAUUUUAGACUUAAAUGAAAGGAAUAACAUGGUUUUGUGUUUUUAUAAUUAAAUUAAUGAGUUGCAGAAAAAUCAUGUUAUAAUUCCAUGGUUUUAAUUUAAUCAUGUGAUCUUAUUCUAAUUUAAAUUUCUAUGCCUACGGCCUUUGAUUGAAGUAUGUAGGCUAUUUGGUUUCAGAAUAUACAAUUGGCUUAAAUUGACUAAUCUUGUAAUUUAAUUGCAGGUCACGAAUGAGUAUUAAGUUUGGUGAGUUAUGGGGAAGAAAAGAAAAACACAACAACAAAAUGAAUCAAAUAAAAUGAGGGCAAAAUGAGGGCAACAAGGGGAGUGGACGAAAGGUGAAAGGGGAAAUUAGUUUCUUUGAAAUGGGGUGGGGGGAGACCGAGAGAGGAAUAAACACGACACACACUUGCAUGUAAAUUUCUCUAAUGUCAUUAAUGAAUCAAAUAAAAAAUUAUUAAUUUAUUUGAUAAGAAAAUAAGCUACUUAUAUGUUUAAUUAAGAACUCGUUUGGCAUUGCUUCGCUAAAAACGCUUCAGCUAAAAGUGCUUUUAUUAUAUCCACAUUGAAACUCUUAUUAAAAAUUCAAGUGCUUUCUAAAAAAGACACUUUGGAAUGCUUUCUUUCAUUUCCCAAUUGUUUCUUCUUCAUCGUCAAAGCUUUCGAUAUUGAGAUCAGAUAACCUCAAAUCUUUUGCAAGGUUGGACCUCAUCAGAUGAGUAAUCGCUUAACUCUUUAUCGUCGUCAGAGGCCUCCUCAUCAGACUCAUAUGGUGCAGUCUGAUAGUCCUCUUCCUCAUCAGACUCAUAUGGUGCAGUCUGAUAGUCCUCUUCCUCAUCAGUAUCUUCAUCAGACUCGUAUGGCACACGAUCAUAGUCCACAUAUUUCCAAUCUGAAUCUGCAAAUUCCCAUUCUACGAUAUCCACUCCUGUUUUCUUCACCUUAAUUUGUUGAUCAUCCUCUGUUUCAAUAAAGUCUGCAUGCACACGAACCUUGUCGCCACCUUUCAGAUUGAGCUUCUUGUUCGUAAGAUUUCCCAGCCAAAGAUAACAUUCAUGGGAAGCAGUUACGGUGGUCACCAAUGGCCAAAUGUGAAAACGAGUUCGCUGGGUACGAUUAACAACAUGAAUGCAUAAGGACCCAGUACAGUCUGAGUUGUCCGAAGAAUAAAUGAUGCACACAACCAACCCUCCUAUAUAAUCAAAAGUAAGCGGCAUUUCAAUUUCGACAGUUUCAUCCUGUCGCGCUACAUAGGGUAACCGGCGAGGAAUAUCAUUUACAGAGAGAGAAAGUCCACCAAUUGUAUACCCCUUCCAUUUCUACAACACGAGGUGCAAAGUUAGUAUAACCAACAAUACGAAAAUCAGAGAGGGAGAGCGAAAGUUCCAUACCAAUAGGAUGUUCUCCUUAAAAGUAGCAGUGAGACUGGUGCACCCUUCCAUAUAAAGGGUAUGCAUGUUGCAGAUGAAGUUAUCCAGGUUUGGAAUAUCUUUGAGUUUGCGGCAGUCUUUCAGUUGCAAUUCAAUCAUUUCCGACAUCUCUGGAAGGUCGGGCAUAAUUUCCAGUUCCGUGCAGUAACUCGCUUCCAGAUUAAGCAAACUUGUUGGCAAAUCUGGGAUUGCCUGAAGGUUUGUGCAAUGAUUUAGAUACAAAGAUGUAAGCUGGGAAAGGCCACUGAGGAUGGGUAGCCUAUUAAAACCAUUUCCAUCUAGUACUAAAAUCCUUAA
RNAcentral lists this long non-coding RNA (79018 nucleotides) under Malus domestica (apple). RNAcentral describes it as "long non-coding RNA (MDOM_LNC017151)". Lineage: Eukaryota; Viridiplantae; Streptophyta; Magnoliopsida; Rosales; Rosaceae. The record is from RNAcentral.